RNAcentral lists this long non-coding RNA (71811 nucleotides) under Vitis vinifera (wine grape). RNAcentral describes it as "long non-coding RNA (VVIN_LNC000810)". Lineage: Eukaryota; Viridiplantae; Streptophyta; Magnoliopsida; Vitales; Vitaceae. The record is from RNAcentral.
AAAGAAAACAGGGUUACAAAAACAAAAUAAAACUUAGCUGAAUUUAAAAGAUAAAUUUGGAUUAUGAAUUAGUAGAAAAAGAAUGAGAAUUAGUAAAGCGAAAGAAACGGUACCAAUCUUGUGAUGAAAAUCACAAGUGCUCUGAAAUAGUAUCACUAUAAACUCGACACCUUCCCCGGCAACGGCGCCAUUUGAUUCAUGCCCAAUUGGUGUCUCAGCUGAUUCAUGUUCAGCUGGUGCUCCUUGUUUGAGGGAGUAAUCAACAAAAUUUAUAACCUAUUACACCAUAUACUAGGGUAGCAAAGAAAAAGCUACUAUAGUAUAGCGGCUCUAGGAUCGUUCACUAGGAAGGGUUUCCAAAUUACAAAUGAUACCAAUUCAAAGUGAAUUGGUACUUUUUUCAUUUCAAGGUUAGCUCACGAAAUAAAACAAAAACUUUGAUUGGUAAAGAUUUAGAUUUAAAAUGACUACAAAGCAAGUGAUGGAAAUUACUUAGGAAGAAAAACAUUCCUUGGAGGGUCAGGUUCACUGGGGAGGUUCCUCAUGCAACAGACAUAGCUCAGGUCAGUUGGUUCAUUUCCUCGUGUGAGAGAAUCAACAUAUAGUCAAUUCUCUAACCGGUGUUGUACAGAUACACCCUUUAAUUAGAUUUCAGCUUUAAUUCUCUCACUGAUGCAACUUGCAAUGGUUCAAACCUCUCACUAAGCCUUAACCAUUCAAGGUGAUCUUUAACCUUGGACUUCCCUUCUCAAGCUCGUAAGAGAUAACUAAUGGAUGUCUCCUUGGAGUCCAAAAGCUUACCAAGUGUUGGCAAUUCCAGAAAAUCCUACCUACAAGUCACCUCCCAGAGGCUCACAAGGGGUAAACUAGUGCAUCUUCAUGGUUGGAGAUCACUUGCCUUUCCAAGUGUUGGCCUAGGUGACUCUAAGGUGUUUUAAGUUAACUAAAAACAGAGAAAUCACUGAAGGAUUUCACUUCCUCUUCAUUCAUGGCUGAAACCACAAAGCUUUGCAUUCUUGCAAUUGGAACCUUCCCCGGCAACCUUAGCUCCAAGGAACUAAAGGUUUAGUUACUCAUUCUUUGGGGAAAAUUCCUUAGAGAGUGCAUAACUUAGUAAGAAACAAAAAAUACAAAGUGAGAAGGUAAGGCAAAACAAAGGACCUGAACUUUAAUUGCUUUUCCAAAACUUUACAAAAGGUCUCCUCCCCCAGAACAGGCUCUCGAGAGGUUUAUAUAUGAACAUAAUACAAAACUAAUUAUUACAUGGAUAUUUACUCUUUUUACUAACUUAAAAGCUAAGGAAUCUUGUAAUUGGUGGCUUACAAGGAGAAUUGUGGGAUUUAGACAACAAAAAUCUGAUGGAAAAUAUCUCCCAAUGUCGGUAGCAAAUAUCGGGAAGCACUAAGGACCAUUUCGCAAGAGAAAAUGAUGUCUGCGAGAUUUCGCAGACACACAAAAAGGGCUGCGAAAGCACUUCGCAGCAAAAGGUUAUUCUCGCAGGGCUGCGAAGUUGGCUUUCAUCUUGAGGUUCUCAGCUUCCAACUUGUCGCAUAUAUCGGGCAACUUCAGGAGAAAAUCCACCACACUGUACAAAAAGGCUGUGAAAUCACUUCGCAACAAAAGGUUGAUUUCGCAACACUUUUGCAAAAUGCUUUCUUCAGCUUAGAGUGAUUGACUUGCAGUGGCUGUAACUUCUUCGUUUCAACUCCAAAUUGUGCACCGUUUGAAGCAUUGGAUUGUUGACUUCCUGAGCUUUGAAAUGAAAUAUAUCAUGCAUCAAUUGGACUUUAGAAAGUGCUCCAAAAGUGGCUAACACGACUGUCAUCAAGAAUAUGCUUCAUGGCAGAUUCUCUUUACUUCUUCUCCUUGCACUCCGGAUUUACUUAUGGCAAAGGACUUCAAAGCUUUGGUUCUUUAUGUUUCUGAGCUUCCAAUUGCUUUGCCCAAGAUUCCAUAUAACUCUCCUCAAUCUCGGAUUGCUUUGGUGAUCCAUAGGCUAUCAAAACACCAAAACUUAACAUAAUUUGAUUAGAAUUGAUUGCAAGGGUCCUUAACAUGUUAAUUGGGUUAAAAGGCAAUAACUACUACUCAAAAGUGUUUAAAAGAGUUUAUUACAAGCUAUCAAAGAGCACUUUUUGAGUAGUAAUCACUCCCUCCAACCAACAUAUUGCUAGUCCCUUAGCAAUAAAGGAGAGAGAAAAAUAUAAAAGCAACUAAACUAUAAUUUACAACAUCAUGCUGAAAAACAAUUUUCAAGUGGCAUGAUAAUCUAAUUCUCACAUGAGACAUCAAAGAAAUAUACACCCAAAUUUCAACAAGAGUUAUAACAAACUACGCUAAACACUAUCAAUUAAGGGAAUGCAUUAUGCAAACUGAAGUUUUAAAAUCAUUUUCACUUCCAAAGAACCAAACUUUACUCUUCCACAAAAAUCUAAGUGUAAGAUUCCUUAGCUUCCGAAUAUAGUAUGCUAAACUAAUCUCUCCCCCCAACCUAUCUCUUUUCAACACUUAGCAAACUGACCAAAAUCAAUAAGAAAAGAACACAUAUUUCUUUUUUUCUUUAUUUAAGGGGCUUAAAGGGGUAUUCUUUCUGAAUUGUCCAUAUAACGGGGGUCCAUUGAUGACUCCCAACCAAUAGUUCACAAAGAGGCUUUGAAAGUUUAAAGAAAUCUUUAAUAAAUCUCCUGUAGAACCCAACAUGGCCAAGGAAUUUCCUUACUCCUUUUACAGUUGUUGGGGAUGGCAAUUUGACAAUAAGUUCCACCUUUACUUUAUCAACUUCAAUGCCUUUCUUGGAGAUGAUGUGGCCAAGGACAAUUCCUUGAUGUACCAUAAAAUGACAUUUCUCCCUGUUAAGCACUAAGUCCUUUUCAAUGCAUCGGUUCAGAACAGCUUCCAAGUUGACUAAGCAUUCCUCGAAUGCGCUUCAAUAUAUGGUGAUAUCAUCCAUAAAAACUUCCAUAAUACGCUCCACCAUAUCAUUGAAAAUGCUUAACAUACAUCAUUGGAAUGUUGUAAGUGCAUUGCAUAAACCAAAAGGCAUUCUUCUUUAGGCAUAUGUUCCAAAUGGACAUUUGAAAGUGGUCUUCUCCUGGUCUUCAACAUCAAUUUCUAUUUGAAAAUACCCGGAGUAACCAUCCAAGAAACAAUAGAAAGGAUGGCCCGAGACUCUCUCCAAUACUUGAUCAAUAAAUGGCAAUGGAAAAUGAUCAUUCAUUGUCACAGCAUUCAAUUUUCUAUAAUCAAUACACACUCUCCAACUUGAUGUGAGGCGUGUAGCAACUUCUUCUCCCUUAUCAUUUUGCACCACUUUGAUCCCUGAUUUCUUUGGCACUACUUGAGUAGGACUCACCCAUGGGCUAUCUGAUAUGGGGUAGAUAAUAUCGACUUGAAGUAGCUUAAGAACCUCAGCUCGCACCACCUCUUUCAUAUGAGGAUUCAAUCUUCUUUGAGGUUGACGAACUGGCUUAGCUUCUUCUUCCAUGUAUAUAUGAUGUGUACAGACUAAAGGGUUGAUACCUUUCAAGUCGGAUAUUUGCCAUCCUAUUGCUUUCUUACAUCUCCUGAGAACUUCAAGUAAACACUCCUCUUGAGGAGUGGUAAGAGAUAAAGAUAUAACAAUAAGGCACUUCUUAUUCUCUUUUAGGUAUGCAUACUUCAACUCCGUGGGUAGUGGCUUCAGAAUAAGCUUCGGGGUCUCCUCUUUAACAGCUUCUUAUGCCUCCUCCUCAUUGAACAAAGGUAGAAUUUCUUCUAUCUUCCUCCAAGGUGGUAGAGUAGCAAGAAAAUCUGAGGGUUCAGGUAACCCUUCAUCAAGAUCCCCAAGACUCUCAUUCAACUCAUCUUGUAUUUUCUGAUUACAAUGCUCCUCCACUAAAGUGUCAAUGAUGCACACCUCUUCUGGACCUUCUUCUUCUUCUGGAUUGGAUGGCUUCUUGCACAUAUAGAAGAUAUUAAGCUCCAAUGUCAUGUUGCCAAACGUGAGUUGCAUGAGUCCAUUCCUACAAUUGAUGAUUGCAUUUGAUGUAGCUAGGAGUGGUCUCCAAGUAUGAUAGGAACAUUAUUAGUUCUUUUGACACUUGGGUCCAUAUCAAGAACAACAAAAUCCACUGGAUAGUAGAAAUUGUCAACUUGAACUAAGACAUCUUCAAUCAUCCCUCUUGGAAUCUUCACUGAUCUAUCUGCUAGAGAUAGAGUGAUUGAUGUUGGAUUCAAUUCACCAAGUCCCAAUUGCUUGUAGAUAGAGUAUGGUAGCAAAUUCACACUUGCCCCCAAGUCCAACAAAGCUUUCUCUACUAACUUCCCUCCAAUCAUCACUAAGAUGGUAGGGCAGCUCGGAUCUUUGUACUUCACUAGAGACUUGCCCUGUAUGAUGGCACUUACUUGCUCGGUCAAGAAGGCUUUCUUAUUCACAUUCAACCCUCUUUUGAUAGUGCACAAGUCCUUAAGGAAUUUUGCAUAAGUCGACACUUGUUUGAUCAUGUCUAGCAAUGGGAUGUUGACCUUCACUUUCCUCAACACUUCAAGAAUUUCUGAUGCAUUGUUAGGAGAGAUAAGACCUUCAAGGUUUUCUAGUUAAUUCUUGAUUUUUUUUAGGGGAUUAGAGAUGACUUGACGAUUCUUAGGAGAGAUAAGACCUUGAAGGUUUUUCUUAGUUUGUUUUCUUCUUCCUUUUUUAUUGAAUAAAUUAUUGUUUUUAAUUUCUUUGAAAUCAAGAAUAAUUCUUUCUUAUUCUUUUAUGGCUUAUGUAUGUGAGAACAUGCCUAUAAAAGGCUAAAAAACCAUCUUAAGGUGAAACAUGAAAACCUAAGGUUAAGGCUUGCAAGGAAACAAUGGGAAAUUGAAUUUAAUAAUGGAAUGAAUGAUUGGUCAAAGGCAUAAUUAAUGAGAAUGGAGAUGCCCUCCAAGAUUGGUUUGAAUUAGGGAAAGUACAAUUGUCCAUUCCAUGAUACUAGGGAUUCUUGGUAAUUCUUGACCUUUAGUUAUCUAAGGUUUAACCAUUGUUAUCUUCCCUAAGGAAAACCCAUACGAAUUGGUAAAAGCCUACAAAUCCUAGACCUAAACCAGGAUCUCAAUUUCAUUCAUCUAAUAGAUAAUUCAAAAUAAAAUUUAAUGUUACACUAAGGAGAUGGAUGCAACUCUAAGUUAUUUAGGUUGGUCUCAUUUAGCCCUUUUUUUUAAUAUCACUAGAUUUAUACAAAUAAAUACCCUUGGUUCGCCUAAAACCCUAAGCCUGAAGUUGGAUUGUGGAAACCCCAUUCUUAAACAUUUGAAUCAAAAAUCAAUAUAAUCAUGCAUUUUAAUUUAGAUUUAUUUAGCAAACUCAUUUUUAUUCAAAUAGAUUUUCAAAUGUUUUUAAUAUAAAGAAUUUAAUUAAAGUAAUCCUUUAGACCUAGUUUGAAAAAUCCCAUUAGCCAAUCUCUGAUAAUGAUACUGAUUUGUGCCCAGCUAGUGUAUGUCCUAUUGAUUGGUGUUCAAUCAAUUGGUGUACUUUGAUUUCAGUCCUCAGACAGGAGUAAUCAACAAAAUUUAUAAACCUAUUUCACCAUAUACUAGGGUAGCAUUAGCUAGCAUAGCAUAGUGGCUCUAGGAUCGUCCACAGGGAUAGGUUUUCAAAUUACAACUCAUAUUAGUUCAAAAACUGAAUUGGUACUUUUUCUUUUCAAGGUUAGCUUUAAAAGAAAACAUAAGUAUGUGUGAAAAUAUUGGUUUUAAGUGAAACAAAAAAUAAAGUAACUGAAAUUACUUACAAAGAAAAGUGCUUCUUGGAGUUUUAGAUCACUAGGCUCAUGUUCCUAAUACAAAAAGGGAGAUUCCGGUCACUUGGAUCUUUUCCUCGCAUUGGGGAUUUAACAUAUAGUUAUCUCCCGAACUGGUGUGGUACAGAUGUUUUUUCUUAAUGGUUUGAAACACUAAAUCCCUGUCACUGAAUCAUCUUGCAAUGGUUCAUACCUCUCACCUGGUAUUGGCCAUUCAAGGUGAUCCUUAACCUUGGAUUACCUAUCAAAAGCUCGCAAAAGAUAACUAAUGGAUGUCUCCUAAGAGUCCAAAAGCUUACCAAGUGUUGGCUAUUCUAGAUAAUCCUACCUUUAAACCACCUCCCAGAGGCUCGCAAGAUAUAAACUAGCGGAUCUCAAUGGACGGAGUCCACUUGCCUUACCAAGUGUUGGCCCAGGUGAUCUUAAGGGAUUUUAAGUUAACUAAAAAGAUAAAAACCAUUAACGGGUCGUACUUUCUCUUCAUCAAAAACUAAAACAACGAAACUUCCACUUUUAUAUCCGGAACCUUACCUAGCUUCCUUCACUCUGAGAAACAAAAAAGCCUAGCCACUCAUCCUUUGGGAAAACAUCCUCAGAGUUUGAUUUGCUAGAAAUAAAAAUAAAAGAGAAAACAAAAUGAGAAGAUAAGGUAGAACAGAGCUUUGUGUAUUACUUUCUAAAAAAAAACUAUACAAAGUUCCGUCUCUGAGAAAAACUCCCCGAGAGAUCUCUUAAAAGAAAAUUACAAUAGAUAUUAUAUAGAGAGGCUAUUCACCCCUCCUGCUAACUUCCCAACCAAGAAAACUUGUCAUUGGUGGGUUACAAGGAGAAAAUAGGGAUUUACACACAAAUAUCUGAAGAUAAAUAUCAAAUAGAGUCGGUGCGCAAAUAUCUCAGAUUAUAGGUGGAUUUUGCAAGUUCAAACGCAACUUGCGAAGAUUUCGCAAGUUGCGAAAUUGUCCUACAACUAAUCAGCUCUCUAUCCUGCAGUGAUUCCUUUCCUCUUCCUAUUUCGCAAGUUACAAAAAUUUCACAAGUUGGAUUCCACAACUUGCAAAAUUGCUGGAUGGUUGAUUUCUUCUGUGAUUUUCUUCCUUGCAUCCUCGUUUGGCUUUGGCAAAGGGUUAUAAAGCUCCAAAGCUUAGUUUCUUCAUGAAUUUGAGCUUCAACUUGCUUUGCCAUGAACUAUACAAAGAUCUACCUCAUUCUUGGAUUGCUUUGGUGAUCAAAAAGCUAUGAAAAACACCAAAACUUAACACAAUUUGAUUAGAAACGAUUGCAAGGGUCCUUAAUAUGCCAAUUGAGUUAAAAGGUAAUAACUACUACUCAAAAGUGUUUAAAAGAGUUCAUUACAAGCUAUAAAAUAACACUUUUUGAGUAGUAAUCAGAUACCUGGAGUACUACAAAAGUCAUAGUGACUCUUUCUUUAGUUUUUCUUAGCCAGAGUUGCUACGUACAAGGCUUAGUGGACAAUAGAGAAUAACGAUCAAUAGGCCAUACCGAUUGUUGGUAUCUAUUGAUUAGAUGAUUGUUGAAGAUAAUUGAUUAUUUAUGAAAGCCCACUAUCACUUUAAUUGACUCAUUGAUAGUUGAAAUGAAAAAUUGGAAAUGAGGCACCUAGGGUUUUUUCUAAACAUAUUUGUUUUAAUUAUAUGAUGUUCAUAAUUUCUUAAACUUGUCAAAAAAAAAAUAAUUUGGGCUUAAAAUCCUUUUUAAAUUGAGAGAUCUAAAUCAGUUUUUACAUAGGUUCAAUUUUAACUCUAUUCUAAACACUUGAACUGAUUCUAAAAAAUUAAAUUAUUUCUUGAUUUAUUUAAUUUAAUUUUAUAUUUUUUUUCCUUAAUCUACACUUCUCAAAGUUAAUUUAGGACCCUAGUUCAUUGAAAAUCAAUUCCUCAAGUAGGAGAUUUUUUUUUUCUUGCACUUGUUGCAUAAACCCCGUUCUAUAGUAAAGGUUGAUUGGCUUAAUUUAAAUAUGUUAUUUGUGAAAUUCUAUUAUGUUGUUAUUAUUCAUGUAAAAUAGACAUUUUGAAUGUAUUGUAAAAGUUUUUAUUUGAUUUUAUUAUGCUUCUAAGUUAGUCAAAUAAAUUCAAUUUGAUAUGUCAUUGAAAUUUGCUCUAUUUUUUCCCAAUGUGAUAUUGAAUUAAUUUGGUAUUUAUCAAGAUAUAAUUAAAUAAUUUGGUCUUUUGGGGUUAUAAUUCGAACACAAGAAAUUUUGUCCAAUAUUUUUCACAAUGAAAUUUAUUUUCUAGAUAUUUGUUUAGGAUUUAUUUUGCAAGUCUCUCUAUUCUAAUCGUAUGUUGAUUAUUCUAUAUAGUGUCCUUCUAGGUAUUUUUUUAGUAUUUACUUUUUGAAUGCCCUUGUUUUGCCAUGUUGCUGAAGGUCUUGUUUGUUAUUGAUAAUUUAGCUUCCUUAUGCGUGCUUAUAGGUUGGUUUGACUUUUAUCAUAUAUUGUAGAUAAAUUAUAUGUACUAGUUAAGUUAUUUUUCAUGUUUCUAUCCUUCUCUUGACAUGUUAUUUGGAAUUAAAUUUUGAAUGAAUCUAGGUUGAAUUCUUAAAUCCGAUUGUUGUGUAUUAUUUCAUCUUGUUUCAUUUCUUUGCUCUUUAUUUUGGAUUUGAUUGUAUAUGAUAUGAGACAUUGCCUAUGAUAUUUCAUUCACUAUUUCAUUCAUUAAGCUAAAACUAUUGAUCUUAUGAAAGUAAUUUAUAUGCUAUUAAGGUUCGCUUCCUUUAUCCCUUAUUUAUUUAAUUCCAUUGACAUGUAUGCCUUGUUUUUUUUUAUAUAUAUUCUUAUGCUUGAUUACAUCUUGCUAUGCCUUGGUCACUUAUUCAAUUCUUGAUUUGAGUGGAAAUAUGUAUUAUAGGACAUUUGUUAUAUUAUGCUUAUUGAACUAUCCUUAUUGUUUUAUGGAAACACUUUGGAUUGCAAUUAAGAUACGUUCAUUCUCUUUUCUUGUAUGCUUGAUUUCACUUGAUAUGCAUGUCUUGUAUGAGUAGUAUUUUACUAGGCUUUUGUUACUAUUACCUUUACCUUAUUCUUGUUUCUUGGUAUCUACUAAUUUACAAAUCAAUUAUCAUAAUUACCUCAACUUGAUUAGUAAAGACCUUAAUUUAAGGCUUAAAGGGAUGCUACCUUAUGGUAGCUUCCAAAUAAGUAACCUGACCCUUGGAUUUAGACUUAAUUUUUAAAGACAUAUUUUUUCAAAUAAAGAGUCAUUUUUUAAGGUUUUAUUUCUUAUUUUAUUUUCCUUUUAAAAAAAUAAAUAAAAAUAAGUGGUAACUCUAAUUUUUUAUGAAAGUCAAUUUUUCACUAAAAAACAAGUCUUGCUAUCGAGUGGGGAUGCACUUGAAAAAUAUAGGUUCACAAAAUGGCGACUCCAUUGGGGAUCAUAGAGGGUCAAGUUUGAACUCUAGUUGAGGAAAAUAUGGUGUUUGGUUAUUCAAUUAGUGGAUACCCUACCUUUACGCUUUUGUAUAAUUGAGUGUUGAUAACACAUUAAAAACUUUGAUAUGAUGAUUAUCUAUGAUGCUUGCUCAAUUGUUAUAUUCAUUUGAGAUCUUGACCUAUUGAUUAUAUUGGUUGAUUCUCUUGCCUAUCUUAGCAUGUUGCAUCUUCUUGUUUUAUGCUUAUUGUGCUUAUCUUAGUAUGAUGAUUGAUCUUGUUAUAUGGUUAUAUGCCUUGUCUUAUCCUUGCUUAGCUUGAGUGUAGAUAUGGAUGAUACACCUACUUUGCAUGACUGUGUGUUGCAUGACUACCCUUUUGUUGCUUGAUUGUAUUUGCUUGUCUAUGUGGGAUGCAAAUUUAUCCCUUUAUCUCUAAUUCCCUAGUCUCGGUCGACUUUGUUUUACUUGAUCUCAUAUUUUAUAUGAGACUUGUUGCUUUUUUUGUUCUCCAACCAAGCUAGUGAUUCGAAAUAAGGUAUAGUGAUGACCUAUAUGUAUAUUUGGGAGCAUAAAGGAGGUUGUCACAUUGAUGUUGAUUGAAGUUCGAUCUUUGAAGACUUGUAUAACUGAGAGCUAGAUUUUUGGAUACUUGUGUGACUAGUGUGUUCACUUUUCUAUUUUGGAUUGAUAGGUUUUUCGAAUGCUCCCAUAUCAUUCACUAUGCACUUUAGAUCAUCACUAAGUGUUGAGAGUGUAAGAGUCUUCACCAUUAGGAAAGCCCUUAGGAUGUGAGGUAGUGUGUUUGUGGAUGUGAUGACCACCUUGCAUGAAAGCACACUAUCUCUUCAAAGGCGUACAGGAGGUUGCAUACCGCUAGAGGGUAUGAUCAUUUCUAUUAAGGACCCUUUUUUAGCAUACCUUUUUCUUUUAGAGGCGCCUUGACCUUGUAAGUUUAGCUUAGAUCCCUCUAUUAGAAAUUUCUUUCCUACAUGUGGAUGCAUCUGAGAUUCUUUAGGGCCUCUUUAGUCAUAGUUUAGAUCAAUAUUCCCUAAUUUUUAGUCUCCUGUUGGGUAUGCUAAUAGAUUAGUGUGAGUUUGAGUAUUAGUUGGACCUCUCUUUGUCCGUUGUGUAAUAUUCUCUUUCAUCCUUUGAGUCUAGUGUAUGUUCUCCCUAGGGCAUUAGUCAACUUUCCCUUCUUAGUUUAGGAAAUCUCUCAAUUUAUUGUUACAUCCUAUUUAGUGCUUUAGGAUAUGCUUAUUGAUCAUGAUCAUCCUUUUGUAUUCUAUACCAACCAUGGGCCCAAUACCUCACCCUCCAUCUAAUGUACUUGAUUCCAUUUUCAACUCGAAGUUCAUCAUGUUUUUUACAUAAAUGUGAAAGGCAUAGUUUUCAUAUUUGUACCCUUAUUUUUUGAGAGAUCUGUCAUAAUCACCUUAUCAUUUUCCUUUAUUAAAGCUCGAGUUGAAAGUUAAAUUAAAUAUGUAAUGCUUGAGAUGAAGUAUCCAUCUUAUGAUAGUAUUAUUCUUUAAACCUCUUUUAUCUUAGAUUAUUAAUAAAAAUUAUUUAAUCACAUUUGUAGUCGUCUCAUAGUGGAUACCUUUAUGACUCUAGAGUUUCUAUCAUACAUUUAGAUUUUGGAUUGUCACCUUAAGACCAUAUGUUUGUCUUAUAUUGUAUUGUCAUCUUUAGUGUCUUCUUUUAUGUCUCUCAUCGUCUUGUUGUAUCAGUUUCAUUGUAGGAAGUUUGUUUGGUAAGAUUCAAUGAAGUUUGGAGUCACAGCCUUGGAGAAGGGUUGAAGGCAAAUUGGUUAGAUUAGAUUCUUGUUAGGGUUCAAACAGACUGGUUGAGAUGUUGGAUGAGUUGGCUUCUACACUUGCUUCCAUUCAGGAGUUCAUGGUAAGGAUUAGUAAACAUUUGAAUUAAGUAGAGUUCUCACUAGGAUCAUUAGCUAGUUGUUAUGGGUAUAGCUGAGAUGGUUCUUAUUAUAUCCUAAACAACAUAGGUACCUCCACCUGGGGUCUCACAUGGUAUUUCAUUUCACUUAUUGGACCAUUAUGAGAUUACUCCACCACCUGCUACCCCGGUGUCACCUCCCAUUGUUCCUACUAUUGAUGAUACUAGAUUAGCAGAGUAGGAGGCUAGAGUGAAGAUACUUAAGACUAGGAUGAGACAUAUAAGAUUAUAGGAAAGGGGCUUAACUAAGGAUGAUAGAGAUGGUAUACAGAUGACUAGCUUACUCACCAAAUUCUACAUACUAGACAUUGAGCGCUACAAUGGAGUGGGUUGCCUAAAGAUUCAUUUGAGGCUUUAUAGUACCAUCAUGAGACCACAUGGACUAAAUGAUGCAUAGUUGGUUACACUCUUCCCUAUGUCACUUAGUGUAGUAGCAUAUAGGUGGUUUGCAUCAGUUGAACCUUCAAGACUUCGUACUUAAAAGGAUGUAGCCCAUGAAUUUCUAACACAGAUAACUUUCAAUUCUAAUAUUGAUGUUCUAAACGAGAGUUAGAGGUUACUAAACAAAGGUUGGAAGAGAUUAUUUCUUCAUUUGUCAAUGGUUAGAGGGUAAAGGUGGCUAGUAUUAUAGAUUAGCCUAAUGAGUAGGAUCAAAUUGUCAUGGUUAUUCAAAACCUUUAGCUGAGGUUUGCUAAACACCUUAUAGGUAUUCAUUUCUAGGAUUUCAGGAGUUUAGUUCAAGUUAUCUUCAGUGUGGAGGAGGGCACUACUAGAAGUUUAUGAAUAGAUGCUACUUCUUGCUUGGACAACAAUGGGAAGAAGCAUGUUUGAUCACCCGGGAGGUCUAGAGAAGUUAGAAUUAAUCUAAGAACAUUCAGAUCAAAGGUAUAUGACAUUAUUCUCUAGAUCUAUAUUUUUGUGGUAUCAAUAUUGUUUUUUGAAUACCUAGUUUUCCACUAUGAUAGAUUUAAAGAGCCUAAGAUAGAUUCUCAUGAACCUCGAUGACCUGGGGCAUGGGAAUAGAGUAAUCUAGGGUUCCUCACACAUCUAUAUCCAUACCUUGACCUUUUGGACUUGUUGACCUGCUUACUAUUAUGAGUCUUACAUAUCACCACUCCUUAAUACCAAUACAUGACCUUUCCAUCUUGAUAUAUCCUAGCUUGGUAUAGUAUUAUUGCCUACCCUUUCCAUUCUACUUUUCAUCUAAUCAAGUAGAGUUUAAGAUGAUAGGACUUGAGGUGAGUUUUACAUCAUGAUGAUGGAUGGUUUGUGAAAAGAGAGUGGGUUGGUUCCUUGAUGUUGUUGACUAUUUAAUAGUUGAGAUGGGCAAAGAGGUAGUUAUAGAGUAUCCAAAUUGAGUUCUUACACAUGAUUGUAAAGAGUUGACAUGGCUAUAUAGGUUGGUUUUAUGGUAUGGUAAUGAGUGGUUUAUUAUGAGGGAGUCAUUUGAUUGCUUGAUGAUAUUGUUGACCAUUUGAUGGCUAAGAUAGGCAAAGAAGUUACACGGUGUGUUUGGAGUGGACUUUCACAUUAUUUUAGAGUGUUUACAUGAUUAUGUUGGACAGAUGUCAGUCUUUAGUAUUGUCCAUGUGAUGGCUUGAAAACAUCAUGUUCAAGGUUGUGGUUGAAAGAUGGGUGGUCAUUGUUUCAUAAACAUAUUUACCCGAUUAUCCCAUACAUAUAGAAUUACCUAUUACUAACCCUUUAAGCCUCACACGUGCAUCAUAACAUUUUCUUUCAUCGCCUCAUUUACCUAUUACACUUGGUUAGGGACCUUAUAGUGUUUGCAUGGUCUCAUAAGCUUUGGACAUGAUAGAAAUAUUUGGAUUUUAUCCCUCACUCUCUUCAUAGUAAUAUUUCUACUUUUUCAUCAUCAUCGUCAUCUUUUUCCUAUAUCGCAUAUCACCACUUAUUAUGUUCAUUCACUCUUCCUUUCCCUUGUCAUUGCCUACUUUACACUAUCUUUGUUUUACCUUAAGUGGUAGUUUUCCACACAUUACUACAUAAAGGAUUAACAUAUCCUUUUCUCUAUUUCAUAUCAUGGGUAGUGAUUCAGAGAUCUUAGUUUAAGAGGUUAUCUUGUCAUUAAGGAUUCAUGUUACAUCAGUAUAAAGGAGAGUUUAUCCAUUUGGUUAUGCAUGUUCAUAGAGAUUGUUCAUUAUUGAUUAGAGUAAGCAUAAAAAUAAAAAAUAAAAAGUAGCACAUUAUUUGUGUUGGAAACCCUAGAUUACUCCAUUCCCAUGCCAUGAAUCAUGUAUAGCGCAUGCAAAUCUAUCCUAGGCUCUUUAAAUGUAUCAUAGUAGAUAAACAAGUAUUAAAAACAAUAUGGAUAACAUAGAAAACAUGGAUCUAGAUAAUAAAGCCACAUACCUUUGAUCUGGAUAUUCCCGAAUCAAUUCCAAUUAAUGUAGAUAACUCCAAAGUCAUAAUGGAUCUUGUAAACACCAUGAUCUUCUACCCAAUGAGUCUUUCUUGUGUCUAGGCAUUGAUAUGGUAGAGAUCUCAAGGGUGGAGUCUAAGGUUCUCUCUUUAUAGUGAAGGGGAGAACAACAAGACUUGGAACUAUCCCCUAAAGGGGUAUUUAUAAGCUUUCUAUUAAGCUUAAGUGACUUAAGCCCACUAUGAGCUUAGGUCACUUAAUCUAGUCCAAAAAGGUUGCUAAUUGAUUAAUUAACCAUACAAGGUCUAAUUAAUCAAUUAGCCCAAUCUAGAGAUACCAUUCACUUAUCCCUUUACAACCUUGCAUAAUUAUCAAAAUGCCCUUAUGCACAAAAGUAAACUAAAAACCUAUCCAACUAUCAUAAGUUGUGUCAACAAGGAAUAUGAGCUCAGAGAAGGAACCAUUGAGACCCAUAGAAGUACUGGCUCCCUCAAAACCAACUUCUAAAAUUGACUUAACAACCCACUAUAAAGAGUCAACUACACUCUAGUACCCUAUGUAUAUUACAAUGAGACACCAAGUGCUUAGGUCUGUGACCUACUAUCCAUUGCAUGCAGACUUCCCACGAACUGGUGUUCAUAAUCUAACAAGGUAGUGUUACCACCUAUCAAGAUUACCACUCAAAUCCUUGAGUUACAUAUCCCACUAUCAUGUGAUCAAAUGACAUACUCUAUCUCCAAGAAGUAUAUGCCAAAUUCCACUAAAGGAAUUACUAUGGCCACAUAUUUCAUGAUCACAUGUCCUUUGGAUCACCCAAGGGAACACACUAUUUCAAUCCAAUGAGAUAUCAUGAUGCCUUUAUCAAGAAAGCUUGUUACCACCAGCCUCCAUCAACAAUGACCCAAUCCAUAGGGAUAUAUGACCACUUUAGGGUCUCACCCAUAGGUCAAAGCCUCCUAUUGAUUUUAGCAGAGAUUCAAUAUCCUCUCAAGGUCAAAAGUCCAUGCAGUAUAGUAGCUUGGUGAAUCAUGACAAUUGAUAGCCUUGUGUUAUGAUUCAUCGUAGGUCUUGUCCAGUGUGCAUCACAUACACUAGUGCACUAACCAUAGGAAACCCAUCCCGACAGCCAAGAUAAACCAUCUCUCUAAUUAAGAGGUGGUGCUAUAGUCUCUACUGGAUUGCCCAAAUCCAUGAACUAACUAUGGACAAUUUAUCUACUUACAAGGAACCCAUAACUUGUAUCUUCUGUUCAACUCCUAAAGCAUCCAAGUCAUGUACAAUGUAAGAGACAUGGGUUGAAUGCUCAAAUAAAUGUUAAUACACCAAAGGAAUAGCAAAGGGAUAGUUAAGUCUAACUUUAUUACAUCAUGUUUUGUUUUUAGGGGCUCAAUCCCAACAGUUUGUACGUUUAUCGUACUAGUCUCUAUCGAGCAUGUGUAUGUAUGUGGGAAUUUGCUUCAUUGGGUUCAUAUGUUGAUGAGACUUCAUAUUUGAACUCCUUGGGAUCCUCUUUUUACUUGAUUCUAUUGUGAUAUAUACUUCUCGGUCAGAGUGUGAGCCAUUUGACUAAUAUGAGAAAGGCGAGCGACCCCUCCUUAGGAACUUUGGAUCUUUGCUUUAUUCAUUAUUUCAUUCAUUUAUGAUAUCACUUCUAUAUAUUCUUUGAUGUGGGUUGAACAGUACUCAUGUUUCUUUAUCUUUCCUUUCCAUUUCCUUUAUUUCAUUACUUCCUUUUAUUUUUUCAUAUUUGAUCUCUUUCUUCUUUUUCUCAUCCCACUCAAUGUCGAAUUUGGAUUUAGCAUUCACAUCUUAUUUGUAUUCCUCUUCUUGAUGUUUGAAAUGUUCAUUCCUCUACCAUCAUUGUUUUAUGUAAGACAUCCCUAGGUCCAAGAUUGAUGAUGUUUUCUACGCAUUGCAUCUCAUGCAUGAGGGGUAUGUGAUUCGUGCCCAAUUGGUGUCUCAGCUGAUUUGUGUCCAGCUGGUGCUCCUUGAUUGAGGGAGUAAUCAACAAAAUUUAUAGCCUAUAACACCAUAUACUAGGGUAGCAAAGAAAAAGCUACUAUAGUAUAGUGGCUCUAGGAUCGUCCACUGGGAAAGAUUGACAAGCUCUCAAUGAUACCAAUUCCAAGUGAAUUGGUUUUGCUUCAUUUCAUGGUUAGCUUAAGAAGUAAAACACAAACUUUGAUUGGUAAAGGUUGAGACUUAAACUAACUAUCAUAACAGAAGUUUGGAAUAAUUUAGGAAGAAAAACAUUCCUUGGAGAUUUAGGUUCAUUGGGGUGGUUCCUCAUGCAAAAGACAUAGCUCCGGUCAGAUGGUUCAUUUCCUCGCGUUAGAGAUUCAACAUAUAGUCAAAUCUCUAACCGGUGUUGUACAGAGACUCCUUCAAUUAGAUUUCACUUUAAUUCUCUCACUGAUGCACUUUGCAAUGGUUUAAGCCUCUCACUAAGCCUUAACCAUUCAAGGUGAUCUUUAACCUUGGAUUACCCGUCAAAAGCUCGCAAGAGAUAACUAAUGGAUGUCUCCUAGGAGUCCAAAAGCUUACCAAGUGUUGGCUAUUCUAGAAAAUCCUACCUUGAAGUCACCUCCCAAAGGCUCACAAGGGGUAAACUAGUGCAUUUCCAUGGUUGGAAAUCACUUGCCUUACCAAGUGUUGGCCCAGGUGACUCUAAGGUGUUUUAAGUUAACUAAAAACAUAGAAAUCACUAAAGGAUUUCACUUCCUCUUCAUUAAUAGUUAAAACCACAGAGCUCUGCAUUCUUGCACUUGGAACCUUCCCCGGCAACCUUAGCUCCAAGGAAUUAGAGGUUUAGUUACUCAUUCUCUGGGGAAAACUCCUCAGAGAAUUCAUAACUUAGAAAUAAAAUGAAAAUACAAAGUGAGAAGGUAAGGCAGUAGAAAGAAAAUAGACUUUACUUGCUUACCCAAACGUUUACAGAAGGAACUCCUCUCUGAGAACAGGCUCCCGAGAGGUAUAUAUAUGAACAUAAUAUAAAACUAAUUAUUACAUAGAUAUUUAGUCUUUUUACUAACUUAAAAACUAAGGAAUCAUGUAAUUGGUGGUUUACAAGGAGUAUUUUGGGAUUUAGACAACAAAAAUCUAAUGGAAAAUAUCUCCCAAUGUCGGUAGAAAAUAUCGGGAGGCUUCAGGAACCAUUUCGCAGGAGAAAAAUGGUGUCUGCGAGAUUUCGCAAACACUCAAGAGGGCUGCGAAAUAAUUUCGCAACACCAAGCUAUCUUCACAAGGCUGCGAAGUUGGCUUCUACCUUGAGGUUCCUAGCUUCCUUCUCGCGGCAUAAAUCGUGCAUCGUCAGAAGGAGAAACACCUUACUGUACAAAAAUGCUGCGAAGUCACUUCGCAACAAAAGGGUGAUUAUCAGCACUUUGCAAAAUGCUUCCUUCAGCUCGGAGUGAUUGGAUUGUAAUGGCUGCAACUUCUUCGUUUCAACUCCGAAUUGCACACCGUUUGAAGAAUUGGAUUGUUGACUUCCUGAGCUUUGAAAUGGUAUAUAGCAUGCAUCAUUUGGACUUCAGAAAGUGCUCCAAAAGUGGCUGCUAUGACUGUCAUUAAGAAUAUGCUUUAUGGCAGAUUCUCUUUGCUUUUUCUCCUUGCAAUCCGGAUUCACUCUUGGCAAAUGACUUCUAAGCUUUGCCCAAGAUUCCUCAUAAUUCUCCUCAGUCUUGACUUGAUUUGGUGAUCAAAUUACUAACAAAAACACCAAAACUUGCACAAAGUGAUUAAAAUUGCUUUAAAGGAUCCUUAACAUGCCAAUUGAGUUAAAAGGCCUAAACUACUACUCAAAAGUGUUUAAAAAGAUUAAUUAUAGGCUAUCAAAUAGCACUUUUUGAGUAGUAGUCACUCCCCCCAACCGACAUAUUGCUAGUCCCUUAGCAAUAUAGGAGAGAAAAAUGAAAAUAAAUAACAAACUAAUCUAAAAUUUACAACAUCAUGCUAAAGGAAAAUAAUUCUCAAAUGGCAUGAUGAUCUAUUUCUCACAUGAAUCAUUAAAGAAAUACAAAUCCAAAUCUCAACAAGAGUCAUAACACCUAUGCUAAACACUGUCAAUCAAGGGAGUGCAUUAUGCAAACUGAAGUUUUAAAAUCAUUUCCACUUCUAAGAAUCAAACUUUAAUCUUCCACAAAAAUCUAUGUGUAUUGGUUCCUUAGGUUCCGAGAAUAAUAUGCUACUAAUCUCACCCCCCAACCUAUCUCUUUUUAACACUUUAGCAAUAAUCUGACCAUAAUCAAUAAGAAAAGAACACACCUUUUUUUUUCAAGGCAGCUUUAUGGGGUACUCUUUCUAACUUGUCCACGUAAUGGGGGUCCAUCGAUGACUCCCAACCAAUUAAGGUUUAGGGCACCAAGUUUUAAGGAUCUUUCAACCACUAACUCCUCGGAUUUUUCCCCGGACUUUUAAGAAAGAAAUUCUACUACCCAAGCAUCUACCAUAUGCUAACUCUACCUAUUCACCCUUAUAACGAGCAUUGAGGUCGGUGACUCCCAACCAAUUAAAGCUUAGGGCACCAGGCUUAAAAGAUUUUCACCAUAUACCCCUCAGACCUUGCUCGGGUUUCAAGGCAAGCAAACAACUUUCUUUAUUUCAAAGGCUCAUUGGCCUUUUGCAGGGUGUUUCAAUUUUAUCAAAUGAGGUCAAAUAUACCAAGUCCCAAAAUUAUCUUAAGUCGAGAGGGAAAUAGCUUUUCAUCUUAUAAUCGGAAUCUAAUGUGCACAGUGUGUGGAUAGCUUAAAGUGGAAGAACUAAAUUCAAUUUCACUAGAAGUUUCAACAAUUGAACCACUUUAGUAAGCAUAAUCCAUACUCUAAGUCAAGUGAAAAAACAACAGUUCAAUUUCUCUUGGUUUAAUUUGAAAAUUUUUCCUCAAAAUUCAUGGAGAAUAGAGUAACAAAAGUAAAAAGUAAAAACUACAACUAAUUAACCAAUAUAAUUGUAUUAUCAAAAAGAUUUAGCACUUCCUUCCUCAUUCCCCCCAACCGAACUGAGCAUUGCCCUCAAUGUGAUAUGAGUGACUGUAUUUAAAGAGAGGAAGUGGUACCUCCUUGCUGAUAUCAAAUUCGAAUAUUGAUUGGGGAAAACCACAUGUUUCAAAAAGAAUAGAAUAUGUGAGAAAAGGAAAUAAGAAUAACUUAAUGCUAACUUUUAACAAGAAAUAUUCAACUUGUAUUACUUUGAGUUCAUUUGAUUACAAUGCUAAAGACAAGUAAUACAAGGAAUCCCAAAUAUAGUACCAAAAUACUGGGAUUUCUUUUCAACUAAAAAAAAACGAAAUACAUAAAAAUAUUAGAUAUCUAAUAUAGUCUGAUGAAUGGGGUGGUGGUGUUAGGCAGAAGGAUCUGCCUCUUCAGUAGGUGCAUCAGCUGGGGCUUGGGGCUCAGGAGGAUGAGACUCUGAAGGAUGAGAGUGUGGCUCUGCUGGUGUAUCAGUGGAGGGCUCUACAGCUUGUGGUAGAUCGAAAUGGACUUGGAGCUGCCUUAAGAUGGUAGCUUGUUGAGCCUGAGUGGCCAACAUCUGCUCUUGGCAUGCUCUGAUGGUUGCCAUCUCCUGAGCAAGAUUGCUCUAAGAAGCUGUAAGAGUCUCCAAUGUACGGCACAACUCUCGAUAUUCAGAUAUAGGAAUGGCCAUCCUCGGCUCAACUGAUAUGGAUGGCUGAGAUGAAGCAGGUGUAGCUGGUGGAGCUCUAGGAAUGGUAGGAGCAGCAACUGUUAUACCCUCGGGUAUAUGUCUUGGGGAUGCUCUCCUUGCAGUUGGCUGAGGCUGCCCAGGCUGAUCAACUUUGUAGGUCGUCAUGUUAUUCCAUUUAUCAAGAGUGAAUGGCUCACGGCAAAUAUUUCCCUGUUAGCUAGCUCAACUUGCCCGGAAGUCUGAGGAUGAUAAGGUGUGGCCACCUUAUGCUUCACUCCAUACUUGGAUAACAAAGCUUCAAAAGGUUUGUUGCAAAAAUGAGCACCUCCAUCACUGAUUAUGGCUUUGGGCAUCCCAAAUCUUGAGAAAAUGUUCUCUUUAAGAAACUUGAGAACCACCCUGUGAUCAUUUUGUUUACAGGGGAUUGCCUCAACCCAUUUAGAAACAUAAUCCACCCCCACCAAGAUGUAAGAAUUACCAAAAGACAUUGGGAAAGGUCCCAUGAAGUCAAUGCCCCAUACAUCAAAUAACUCAACUAUCAUAAUGGGGUUCAUAGGCAUUUGAUUUCUUUUUGUUAGCUUUCCAAGCCUUUGGCAUCUAUCACAAUUUCUACACAUGAUGUAGGCAUCCUUAAAAAGAGAUGGCCAAGUAAACCCUGAUUGCAAUACCUUCAUGGCGGUUUUCUGAGAGGCAAAGUGGCCUCCACAUGCAUUCUCAUGACAAUGAGAUAAAAUCCCUUGUUGCUCAUCUUCAGGGACACACUUCCUAAUAAUCUGAUCUGCACAAUACUUAAAGAGAAAGGGCUCUUCCCAAUAAUAAGAAUGAAUUUUGGAAAAGAAGUGCUUCCUGUCCUGUGCAUUCCACUCACUUGGAAUUUCACCAGUUACUAAAUAAUUAGCAAUAUGAGCAUACCAAGGAGUUUUCACUAGGAACAUGAGUGAUUCUUCAGGAAAAUCAUCAUUGAUAGGCAAGGGAUGGGAGUUAUGUGCUAUAACUAACCUUGACAAGUGGUCAGCUACUACAUUCUCCACUCCUUUCUUAUCUUUGAUUUGAAGAUCGAACUCUUGUAACAAAAGAAUCCAUCUAAUCAAUCUUGCUUUUGCAUCUUGCUUUGUCAAUAAAUACUUCAAGGCUGAAUGGUUAGUGAAGACAAUAAUGAAAGACCCCACUAAAUAAGCUCGAAAUUUGUCCAAAGCAAAUACCACAGCUAACAAUUCUUUCUCUAUAGUUGUGUAGUUCCUUUGAGCUUCAUUUAGUGUUUUACUUGCAUAGUAAAUCACAUAGGGCUUCCCAUCUUCUCUUUGGCCAAGCACAGCUCCUAUAGCAAAGUCACUGGCAUCACACAUCAAUUCAAAAGGUAAUUGCCAGUUAGGGGCUCUCACUAUUGGAGUUAUUGUUAAAAAUUUCUUCAGUUGAUCAAAGCUAUGCUGACACCUUUCAUCCCAUAUAAACUUAGCAUCCUUAGCUAACAGCUCACAAAGAGGUUUUGAAAGACUUGAAAAACCUUUUAUAAACCGCCUAUAGAAACCUGCAUGGCCAAGGAACUGCCUUACUCCUUUUACAGUUGUUGGAGAUGGUAAUUUGACAAUAAGCUCCACCUUUGCUUUAUCAACUUCAAUGCCUUUUUCAGAGAUGAUAUGGCCAAGGACAAUUCCUUGACGUACCAUAAAAUGGCAUUUCUCCCAAUUGAGCACCAGGUCUUUUUCAAUGCAUCUAUGAAGAACUGCUUCCAAAUUAACCAAGCAUUCCUCAAAUGUACCUCCAUAUACGGUGAUGUCAUCCAUGAAAACCUCCAUAAUUCGCUCCACCAUAUCACUGAAAAUACUCAACAUACAUCUUUGGAAUGUAGCAGGUGCAUUGCAUAAACCAAAAGGCAUUCUCCUGUAAGCAUAUGUUCCAAAUGGACAUGUAAAAGUGGUCUUUUCCUGAUCUUCCAAAUCAAUUUCAAUCUGAAAAUACCCUGAAUACCCAUCCAAGAAACAAUAGAAUGGAAGUCCAGAGACUCUCUCCAGCACUUGGUCAAUAAAUGGCAAUGGAAAAUGAUCUUUCCUGGUUACAACAUUCAGCUUUCUAUAAUCAAUACACACCCUCCAACCUGAAGUGAGGCGUGUAGUAAUUUCUUCCCCUUUUUCAUUUUGAACCACUGUAAUCCCUGACUUCUUUGGUGCCACUUGAGUAGGACUCACCCAAGGGCUAUCAGAAAUAGGGUAAAUGAUUCCUGCUUGAAGUAGCUUCAGCACUUCAGCUCGCACCACCUCUUGUAGAUGAGGAUUCAACCUUCUUUGAAAUUGACGAAUUGGCUUUGCUUCCUCCUCCAUAUAUAUAUGAUGAGUACAAACUAAAGGACUAAUGCCUUUUAAGUCAGAUAUUUGCCAUCCUAUUGCCUUCUUACACCUCUUGAGAACUUCCAUUAAACAAUUCUCUUGAUGACUGGUCAGAGAUGAAGAUAUCACAACAGGACAUUGAUUAUUUGCUUCAAGAUAUGUAUAUUUCAGCUCCACAGGUAAAGGCUUCAGAUUGAGUUUUGAAAUUUCUUUUUCAACAGCUGCAUCCUCUUCUUUAUUGAACAGAGGUAGAAUUUCUUCUAUCUUUCUCCAACUUUGUAGAGUAGCAAGCCCAAUAGGAGAUUCAGAAAAACCUUCCUCAAAAUUCACAAGACUUUUAUUCAACUUGUCUUGCAUAUGUUGAUUACAGUGCUCCUCCACCAAAGUAUCAAUAAUACAUAGCUCUUCUGGACCCUCUUCUUAUUCCAGAGUGAUUUGCUUUUUAGACAUAUAGAAAAUAUUGAGAUCCAGUGUCAUGUUACCAAAAGUGAGUUGCAUAAGCCCAUUCCUGCAAUUGAUGAUUGCAUUUGAAGUAGCAAGAAAUGGCCUUCCAAGGAUGAUAGGAACUAAAUUAGCUUCCUUUACAGUAGGAUCUGUAUCAAGAACAAUAAAAUCUACUGGAUAGUAGAAAUUAUCUACUUGAACCAAUACAUCCUCAAUUACCCCUCUUGGAAUUUUCACUGAUCUAUCUGCCAGAGAUAGAGUGAUUGCUGUUGACUUCAACUCUCCAAGUCCUAAUUGCUUGUAGACGGAAUAUGGAAGCAAAUUCACACUUGCUCCCAAAUCUAGCAAGGCUUUCUCCACUACCUUUCCUCCAAUCAUGACUAAAAUGGUAGGACUCCCAGGGUCUUUGUACUUCAAAGGAGACUUACAUUGUAAGAUUGCACUUACUUGCUCAGUCAAGAAGGCUUUCUUGUUUACAGUCAACCCUCUCUUGAUAGUACACAAGUCCUUUAGGAAUUUUGCAUACGUUGGAACUUGUUUGAUCAUAUCCAGCAGUGGAAUAUUGACUUUCACUUGUCUCAAUACUUCAAGGAUUUCAGCUGCAUUUCUAACCCCCUUUUUCCCAUGUAAUGCUUGAGGAAAAGGUGGAGAAGUUGAUUUCUUCAGCAUUUCUUCCUUCAGAAGCUCUUUCUCUGGAAUUGCAUUCAUCGUUGAAUCAGAGUCCUUCUUUUCUUCACUGAUCUCACUGUCUUUAUCUUCCAUUUCAUUCCUUUUCUUUAUCUCUUCUUCUUUCUCAACAUGUGGCUUGGGUGUUGGCUUCUCAAUUUUCUUACCACUCCUUAGAGUGAUCAAGGCUUUGACAUCUUUCACCUGUGAUGAUUCUCCCUCCUGGCUUUCCACUUCAUGGACACCUUUGGGAUUUUGGUGAGGUUGAGAAGGAAAUCUUCCCUUUUCUUGCAGUGUAUUCAAAUUUGUAAGCCUUGAAAUUGAAUAUUGGAUGUUAUCAAACUUUUGGUUCAUAUCAUUUUGCAUUCCAUCCAUCCUUUUAUUCAACAUACUCUCCACUCUAUCAAUUCUUUGAUCGACUCGAGCAUUAGUGGCUUCUUGCUUUUCAAUAAAAUCUCCCAUUACCUUGCUGAGAUUGGCUAUUGCUUGUUCAAUACUUGAAGAUUGCUGAGAUGGUGGAUCCGGCUGUUGGUAUUGAGUUGCUCUGGCCUUCCAUGAGAAAUUUGGAUGAUUCCUCCAACUUGAGUUGUAGGUAUUUCCAUAAAGAGCAUUGUUAUUGGGCCUGAAUUGUCCAACAACAUUUGCUUGAUCUCUAAACAUCUCCCUUUCAGUUGGAAUUGCAGGGCAUUCCUCCACCAAAUGUUCAUAUGAUUGACAAUUGGGACACAGCUUCACUUGCACUGGUGCUUCAGCAACAGCUUGCACUUCAUGUAUUUUUUUUAGCUCCAGCUCCUCCAAUCUUCUUGUCAUAGCUGCCAACUUUGCUUUCAUGUCAUCAUCCUCUUUUAAGGUAUACAUCCCAACCUUUGCAUUGUAAGCAUUCAACUGAGACUUCAUCUUUCCCACUUCUCCUUUAGUUGGUUCAUCCCAUCCCCUUGAAACAUCAGCUACAUAGCUCAAGAAAUCCAUAGCUUCCUCGGGAUUUUUGCUCAUGAAAUCUCCUCCACACAUUGUCUCGAGGAGUUGCUUCAUUGAGGAGGACAUACCAUCAUAAAAAUAGCUCACCAAUAGCCAAGUAUCAAAGCCAUGGUGAGGACAAGCAUUUAUAGCUUCCAUGUAUCUUUCCCAACACUCAUAGAAUUUCUCAUUCUCUUUAGCUGAGAAGUUUGAAAUUUACCUUUUCAAGCCAUUUGUUCUAUGAGUGGGAAAAAAUUUCUUGAGGAAUUCAGCUUGUAAAUCAGUCCAAGAGCGGAUACUCCUUGGCCUUAAAGAAUUAAGCCAAAUUUUGGCCUUAUCCUUUAAAGUAAAAGGAAAUAACUUAAGCCUCAUCAAAUCAAUUGAAGCUCCUCCCUCUUGGAAUGUAUUACAAACAUUUUCAAAUUCCUUGAUGUGUGCAUACGGAUUCUCACUUUCCAUCCCAUGGAAAGUUGGUAGAAGUGGAACAAGAUAUGGUCUGAUCACUAGCUGCUCUGUAGGGGGCACUAUACAUGAUGGUGCACUCAUACGAGGUGGAUGCAUGCGGUCCCUCAUUGAUCUGAAUUCAUUGAGAUUAUCUUGACGACCUUGGUGACUAUGCUGAUCUUCAGGUGUAGCUUCCAUGAUAUUCAAGAUCACUUCCAAUUCUUUUCUCUGAGGUGUAUCACACUUAACAAGCCUUCCUCCACUGUCUCGUAUCCACUUGGGCAUACACAACUAGUAUCUAUCUGCAACUUAAAUAAAAACAGAGGACAACAAGAGAAACAGGGCUACAACAACAAAAUUAAACUAGGCUAAAUAAAAAUAAAUAAACUUAGAUUAUGAAUAAAUAAAGAAAGAAUGAAAAUUAGUAAAGUGAAAGAAACUUUACCAACUUGUGAUGAAAAUCACAAGUGCUCAAAUAUGGUAUCAAUAUAAACUUGACACUCAUUCCCCGGCAACGGCGCCAUUUGAUUCGUGCCCAAUUGGUGUCUCAGCUGAUUUGUGUCCAGCUGGUGCUCCUUGAUUGAGAGAGUAAUCAACAAAAUUUAUAACCUAUAACACCAUAUACUAGGGUAGCAAAGAAAAAGCUACUAUAGUAUAGUGGCUCUAGGAUCGUCCACUGGGAAAGAUUGACAAGCUCUCAAUGAUACCAAUUCCAAGUGAAUUGGUUUUGCUUCAUUUCAUGGUUAGCUUAAGAAGUAAAACACAAACUUUGAUUGGUAAAGGUUGAGACUUAAACUAACUAUCAUAACAAAAGUUUGGAAUAAUUUAGGAAGAAAAACAUUCCUUGGAGAUUUAGGUUCAUUGGGGUGGUUCCUCAUGCAAAAGACAUAGCUCCGGUCAGAUGGUUCAUUUCCUCGCGUUAGAGAUUCAACAUAUAGUCAAAUCUCUAACCGGUGUUGUACAGAGACUCCUUCAAUUAGAUUUCACUUUAAUUCUCUCACUGAUGCACUUUGCAAUGGUUUAAGCCUCUCACUAAGCCUUAACCAUUCAAGGUGAUCUUUAACCUUGGAUUACCAGUCAAAAGCUCGCAAGAGAUAACUAAUGGAUGUCUCCUAGGAGUCCAAAAGCUUACCAAGUGUUGGCUAUUCUAGAAAAUCCUACCUUGAAGUCACCUCCCAAAGGCUCGCAAGGGGUAAACUAGUGCAUUUCCAUGGUUGGAAAUCACUUGCCUUACCAAGUGUUGGCCCAGGUGACUCUAAGGUGUUUUAAGUUAACUAAAAACAUAGAAAUCACUAAAGGAUUUCACUUCCUCUUCAUUAAUAGCUAAAACCACAUAGCUCUGCAUUCUUGCACUUGGAACCUUCCCCGGCAACCUUAGCUCCAAGGAAUUAGAGGUUUAGUUACUCAUUCUCUGGGGAAAACUCCUCAGAGAAUUCAUAACUUAGAAAUAAAAUGAAAAUACAAAGUGAGAAGGUAAGGCAGUAGAAAGAAAAUAGACUUUACUUGCUUACCCAAACGUUUACAGAAGGAACUCCUCUCUGAGAACAGGCUCCCGAGAGGUAUAUAUAUGAACAUAAUAUAAAACUAAUUAUUACAUAGAUAUUUAGUCUUUUUACUAACUUAAAAACUAAGGAAUCAUGUAAUUGGUGGUUUACAAGGAGUAUUUUGGGAUUUAGACAACAAAAAUCUAAUGGAAAAUAUCUCCCAAUGUCGGUAGCAAAUAUCGGGAGGCUUUAGGAACCAUUUCGUAGGAGAAAAAUGGUGUCUGCGAGAUUUCGCAGACACUCAAGAGGGCUGCGAAAUAAUUUCGCAACACCAAGCUAUCUUCACAAGGCUGCGAAGUUGGCUUCUACCUUGAGGUUCCUAGCUUCCUUCUCGCGGAAUAAAUUGUGCAUCGUCAGAAGGAGAAACACCUUACUAUUCAAAAAUGCUGCAAAGUCACUUCGCAACAAAAGGGUGAUUUCGCAGCACUUUGCAAAAUGCUUCCUUCAGCUCGGAGUGACUGGCUUGUAAUGGCUGCAACUUCUUCGUUUCAACUCCGAAUUGCACACCGUUUGAAGCAUUGGAUUGUUGACUUCCUGAGCUUUGAAAUGGUAUAUAGCAUGCAUCAUUUGGACUUCAGAAAGUGCUCCAAAAGUGGCUGCUACGACUGUCAUCAAGAAUAUGCUUUAUGGCAGAUUCUCUUUGCUUUUUCUCCUUGCAAUCCAGAUUCACUCUUGGCAAAUGACUUCUAAGCUUUGCCCAAGAUUCCUCAUAAUUCUCCUCAGUCUUGACUUGAUUUGGUGAUCAAAUUACUAACAAAAACACCAAAACUUGCACAAAGUGAUUAAAAUUGCUUUAAAGGAUCCUUAACAUGCCAAUUGAGUUAAAAGGCCUAAACUACUACUCAAAAGUGUUUAAAAGGAUUAAUUAUAGGCUAUCAAAUAGCACUUUUUGAGUAGUAGUCAGUAUGGGGAUUAUAUCUUUGGGAUUUUUUAGCCUAGUUUCCUUUCAUUUCUUUUACCCUUUUACCCUAGCCUACAUUACGUCUUGGGUCUAGAGACCAUCAUGUGGCCAUGUGAUUACUACUCAAAAAGUACUAUUUCAUAGCUUGUAAUUAACUCUUUUAAACACUUUUGAGUAGUAUUUAUUGUCUUUUAACCCAAUUAACAUAUUAAGGACCUUUGCAAGCACUUCUAAUCAAUUUGUGUUAAGUUUUGGUGUUUUGAUAGCUUUUUGAUCACCAAAGCAAUAUGAGAUUGAGGAGAGUUAUUUGGAAUCCAUGGAAAAGCAAUGGAAAGCUCAGAAACAUGAAGAACCAAAGCUUUGAAGUCCUUUGUCAUAAGCAAAACCGGAAUGCAAGGAGAGGAAGUAAAGAGAAAUCUGCCAUGAAGUAUUUUUUAUGACAGUCAUGUCAGCAACUUUUGGAGCACUUCCUGAAGUCCAAUUUAUGCAUUCUAUAUGUCGUUUCAAAGCUUAGGAAGUCAGCAAUCCAAUGCUUCAAACAGUAUGCAAUUCAGAGCUGAAAUGAAGGAGUUACAGCCGUUGGAAGCCGAACACUGCAAGCUGAAAGCCAACUUCGCAGCACUGCGAAAUCAGCCUUUUGCUGCGAAGUGAUUUCGCAGCCUUUUUGUGCGUCUGCGAAAUCUCGCAGACCUCGUUUUCACCUGCGAAAUGGUCCUUAGUGCUUCCCGAUAUUUGCGACCGACACUUUGAGAUAUUUUUCUUCAGAUUUUUGUUGUCUAAAUUCCCAAACUCUCCUUGUAAGCCACCAAUUAUAGGAUUCCUUAGCUAUUAAGUUAGGAAAAAGGGUAAAUAUCCAUGUAAUAAUUAUUAUUGUAAUUUUCAUAUAAAUAGCUCUCGGGAGCUUGUUCGAAGGAGGACGAACCUUUUGUAAAAGUUUGAAAGAAAGAAAAAUAUAGAGCCUUUGCUCUGCCUUACCUUCUCAAUUUGAUUGUAUUUUUCAUUUACUAGUUAUGCACUCUCUGAGGAAGUUUCCCCAGAGAAUGAGUAACUAAACCUUUAGUUCCUUGAAGCUAAGGUUGCCGGGAAAGGUUCCAAGUGCAAGAAUUAGUAGCUUUGUGGUUUCAGCCAUGAAUGAAGAGAAAGUGUGAUCCUUUAGUGAUUUCUAUAUUUUUAUCUAACUUAAAACACCUUAGAGUCACCUGGGCCAACACUUGGUAAGGCAAGUGAUCUCUGUCCAUGGAGAUGCACUAGUUUACCCCUUGCGAGCCUCUGGGAGGUGACUUGAAGGUAGGAUUUUCUAGAAUUGACAACACUUGGUAAGCUUUUGGACUCCAAGGAGACAUCCAUUAGUUAUCUCUUGCGAGCUUGAGAAGGGAAGUUCAAGGUUAAAGAUCACCUUGAAUGGUAAAUGCUAAGUGAGAGGCACGAACUAUUGCAAGUUGCAUCAGUGAGAGGGAAUUAGAGCUAAAAUCUAAUUAAGGGAUGCAUCUGUACAACACCGGUUAGAGAAGUGACUAUAUGUUAAUUCUCUAAUGCGAGGAAAUGAACCAACUGACCAGAGCUAUGUUUUUGCAUGAGGAACCUCCCCUGUGAACCUAAAUCUCCAAGGAAUGUUUUUCUUCAUAAGUAAUUUCCAUUACUUGCUGUGUCGUUAGUUUAAAUCUAAACCUUUUUCAACCAAAGUUUGUGUUUUAUUUCUUAAGCUAACCUUGAAAUGAAACAGCACCAAUUCACUUUGAAUUGGUAUCAUUUGUAAUUUGAAAACCCUUCCCAGUGAACGAUCCUAGAGCCACUAUGCUAUAGUAGCUUUUUCUUUGCUACCCUAGUAUAUGGUGUAAUAGGUUAUAAAUUUUGUUGAUUACUCCCUCAAUCAAGGAGCACCAGCUGGACACAAAUCAGCUGAGACACCAAUUGGGCACGAAUCACCAUGAUAUCAUGCAUUUUGUUUGAUAGCUCACAUAUGGGCAACAUUUCAGAUUGGUUGGAGAUUACUAGAAGCAUGAUGGAUGAGGAGAUACAAGACAAUCUUACACUAGGGCAUACUUUUCUUAUUGAUGAUGGAUUUUGAGAUGAUGAUCUUACAAUAUAGCAUACUCCUCUUAUUAGCGAUAGAUUUUUGUGAUGAUGAUUUGCUAGGGCAGAGUAUUCUUAUGUUGGAUUAGGAGUUACGAGAUGGCUCUACAUUAGGACAUAGCCAUUUCACUCCUUCUAGAUUAUGAUGGAUCAAGAAUUGUGUGAGGACUUAUACUAAGCCAUAUAUGCUUCAAAGAGCACUUUUAUUAGAGAUGUAGUCACUUUACUUGAUACUAGGACAUACUCCUCCCAUUAAUGGAUUUUUGAGAUGGUAGUUUGCUUUCAAACAUAAUUGCUUUAGAGAUCUUGUAUGGUAGACAUAACCACUUUACUCCAUUCUCAUGGAGCACAUAGAUUAGGAGUUGUUGAGAUCAUGUUGAGAUAUUUUCAUUUUUAGUAUCAGAAGUUGAGAUUGAUCUUAAUCCGAUGAUGCAAGUUGAGACAUAACCUUCUCAUUGAUGACAAAGCUAAAUUUAUCUUGGAGUAAUAGCCAAUUUAGAUAGUUUAUACUAAGUUAUAGCCACUUCAUUCAUUCUUACAGAGCAUGUGGAUUAAUAGUCAUAGAUCAUGUUGAGAUAUUUUCGUUUUCAACACUGGGAGCAAAGUUUGAUAUUGAUAUGUUGAUGUACAUUGGGGCAUAACCCUCUUAGUGGUUAUUCAUUUGGAUAAAUUACCAUACAUUGGAGCAUAACUAUUCUAUUUUAUUCCCCACACUAAAGCAUAUCCAUCUUUUGGAGGGUGAUCAAAUUUAUUCAUUAGAGUGGAGCAUCUAAUUAGUGAUAUGAGGAUUAUUGGAUAGUUUCAUGUUGUCAUCAUUUCAUAUUGGGGCAUAUCCACCUUGUUGGAUAUUUUGGUGUUCAGAUAUGGUCACUUAAUAGAGAAUUUUGAAGGAUCAUGGAGCUGAUGACACUUUGGGUUCUUAGCAUACUCGGUUUGAUCUUGUAUACCCACCUACUUGUCAUUUCAUACCCAAUCAUUGCACUCUUGAUACCUUCACACUUAUAUCUAUCCUACCAGAGCUUGACUGGUAUUUUUUUUUUUCAUCCUACACAAUUUACCAUGAUGCAUAACCUUAUACUUUUCUCUUGAUUAGAGAAACAUAUAAACUAGUCCUUGAUUUUCCAAGAAGUUUCUUAAAUCUGCAUCAAUAGAGAGUUCUUAUUUAGGUCGAUGAGGUUUACUAAGAAGACUUGUUUAUGUAUUUAAUAAGACUAGUUAAGUUUUGAUGUAAUUGUAGUAUUAUGUUUUUAUUGAGUUAAUAAAUGUGAAACACAUUAAAAUUAAACCAAUGAAAAUCUCCUUUACUUCUGGCAAAUUAGAAAUAUAAACAGUGAAGAUUUACGAAGCUUCCAACUUAUCUUCCUUCUUAUAAGUUAGCAUAAAAAAGUUCUUUAGAAGCAAUCCAACAAGAAAAAAAAAAUGACCUAGUCAUUGGAAAUCUUAGUCCAUAGUUUAGAAUUUAUGUUUUUGGAGACAAAGUGUUCAUUCAUCUGGAAAACAUUUUUUUCCAAAUAAAUUAUGAAAAUACAUAUUUUUUAAAUUUUACAAUCUAUCUUGUGAAUAAUUCCUAACUUAUUUUCUUUCAAUUUAGAUGUGAUAUGGAUACACUUCCUUUUCCUUAUUUUUAAAAAAAGUAGAAAAUAAUAAUAACUUUUAUAUAAAAUAAAAGAAAAUUUGACACAUACAAUAAAAAGAUAAAAAUAUUUUUGAAAUGUUGUAAAGAAAAUUAAAGUUUAAUUUAAUUUUUUUACUUCUUCAAAUUUAAAAAUUUUUAAAGUAAUUUUUAAGAGCAUAAAAUAAGUUUGUACUUUUUGUAUAAGAGAUCUUAUAUUUUAUGUCAAAGUUAAUCCUUUUGGUUUUUACAAAAUAGAAAAUAGAAAGUAUAUUCAAAAUAGCUUAGUGGUUCUUUUUUUUUUUUUUUUUUUUCAUGCUUAAACUUCUUUUAUGGUUGACCUUCAAUAAAUUUUAACCAUUUCUAGUUUUGAUGUAAUUAAAGGUAGUAUUAUGUUUUUAUGGAGUUAAUAAAUGUAAAACAUAUUAAAAUAAAGUUAAUGAAAAUCUCCUUUACUUUUAGUAAAUUAGAAAUGAAAACAUGGAAGAUUUGUGAAGCUUCCACCUUAUUUCCCUUCAUAUAAGUUGGCAUGAAAAGUUCUUCUGACGCAAUCCAACAAUAAAAAUGACCCAGACCCCACAAAAUCAUAGUCUAUAGUUUAGAAUUCAUGUUUUUCUAGAGAAAGUGUUAAUUCAUCUAGAAACAUUUUUACCUUAAAAAGACAUUUAUGAAUUUUAUGGUCUAUCUCGUGAAUAAUUUUCUAAUUUUUUUUUUCUUUCAAUUUAGAUAUCAUCUUAAAACAUUAUUUUUUUAAAAGACAGAAAAUAAUAGUAACUUUUAUGUAAAAUACAAGAACUUUCGAGACAAUUUUUAAAAAUUGUUCAAAUUUUAAGAAUUUUUAAAGUGAAUUUUAAGAGCAUUACAUAAGAUUGUACUUUUUGUAUAAGAGAUCUUACAUUUUAUGUGGAAUUUAUUACUACUUUUGGUUUUUAAAAAAUAGAAAAUGGAAAGUAUAUCUAAAAGAUAACUUAGUGGUUUGUUUUUUCAUGCUUAAAUUUUUUUUAUGCUUGGUCUUCAAUAAGUUUAUAUCAUUUGUAGAUUUAAUAUGAAUGUUAUUUGAAUGAUUGUUAUGAGUAAACAUUUGUUAAUUCACUACAACGAAAAUGUCAAAAGAUUACGCUUUUUAAGCAUUAAGAUAGUAUAAGAUGACACUUUCCAGAAGCGUCAUAUCUUAGACUGUCAUCUUAUGAAUUUCCAAUUGUUGAUGCUUUUCACAAGCGUCAUCUUCUUUGGCAGUUAACCAUGACGCUCAGAGAAAGCAUCAUUAUUCUAAACCUUGGAGCUCUACAAGUGUCAUUAGAGGUCUACAAUUUCAUUCAUCUCAAUAUUGACACUCAAUAAAGCGUCAUUGUAUGGGUAGGAGCAACAUCGACACUCAUGAUAAGUGCCAUCUUAUAGCAAUUUUCAACCUUGAUGCUUGAAAAAAGUAUCAUAUUCUGAAAUCCUCAACCUUGAUGCUUAUGAAAAGUGUCAUUGUAUAGGUUAAAGUGACGUUGACACUCAUAAUAAGUGUCAUCUUCUACCUUUAAUAUCCUACGAGAACAAAGCAUGAUGCUUUAUAAAAGUUCCAUCUUAUCUCAUUCGAAAUUUUAAUAACCCAUAAAAGUCUUAAUUAUGCCUUGUUUUAUAACUUUCCACAAACAAUGAAUCAGUAAUAAAAAGUUAAUUUAAGAAAGUCCUAGGAGAAAAAGUACUAAUUAUGGUGUUACUCUUUCUCUAUUAAAAUUUACCAAUAAAUGUUACACAUAAUCAAUUAUGAAUUUGCUUAGCAUUAAAUUUAGUUGAAAUUGUUUAAAAAACAAAAAAAUUUACAACUUCUUUUUCAACUUUGAGUUGUUCAUAGUCUUUUGCUGCAUCUUGUUCUACAUCAUCUUUCUUCAAAAUGCAUAAGGAUGGUUACAACUCAUGUUCUAGAUGCUCAACUUGCAGAAAUAAUUGAGAGGUUACAUAUAACUAAUAUUGACAAAUAGUAAAGAAAAAUACAACUCUAUAAAUGAAAUGUGUAUAUACCAAUUUUUUAAAUUUCCAAGAUAUAUUUCUUCCACUAUAAUAAAUUUCAACAUGUUGGAAGAACUGAACAAACCUCAAUAAUUUUGUUACACCAAAUUUCUAAAUAUUCCUUGAACUCUUGUUAUAUGUUUAAGAAAGCAAACAAUAAACCACUUUCGAGUAUUUUCCCAAAUCCAAUAUUUGAUUUUGUCUAACUUAGGUUGAAUGCAAUAAUUAAUUUUGUCCAACUCAUAUUAUCAUUCUUAUUGUAAUCAUGAGUGAAUGUUGACUUGCACAUGGUUAUCAAAAUAUGUUAUAAGUAUAUCUAACUUUGGUUGAAUGCAAUAAUUAAUUUUGUCAAACUCAUGUUAUCAUUCAUGCUGUAACCAUAAGUGGAUGGUGACUUGCACCUAUGGUUAUCAAAAUAUGCUAUCAACAUAUUGGGGCUUGCCAUAAGUCCAAGUAGGUCUUAAAUUUAAAGCAUGUAUACACUUAAUCAUUUACUUGGACUAACUCAUUAUGGAUAGAACUGAACCAAUUAAAUAACUAGGUUAAGUGGUUUCCCUUCACCAAUGAAGAUGGUAUAUCCAUGUGGUUGCUUUCUUCCCUAAUUAGGUAUUAUUAUGAACUACAAUUAACUAAAGGACCCAUUGUUCAUCAACUAUCUCCAUUAUAUAAUGGUCUUUUAGCCCUUUCACCCAAUUGACCUUUACAAGUCAUCAAUUAUAUGUAUAAACAAAUGUCUUUGACUCUUAAAAAACUUAAAAAAAUAAAAGUUUUGAUCUUAGUGACUAUUUUGGUAUGAUUUAUAUCUUAUAUAUGAAACUUCAACCAUUAACAUCUUUUCAUCCUUCUUAUAGGUCCUACAAGACACUGGAUGUUUUGCAAAAGAAGCAAGAAAGGAGUUAAAAGGAAAAAAACUUUAAGUUUGAAAAUUUCUGAAAUUAUAAGUUAAAAUAUCUAUGUAAAAUUAUGAAAUUGUAUGUCAAAUUAUCUAUGUUCUUCCUAUUGUUAAUAUCUAUUAUACAUAAAAUUUACAAUUUAUUGUUCUAUCUAUUUAACCAAUUAAUGUAGUCGGUAUGAAGUAUAAUGUCAAGAGAAGAGCUAGCUUGCAAGGGCACAUUAACAUCUAAUCAUGUGAGGAUAUCUAUUAUCCUAAGUAUACAUCCUAAAUAUGAAACUUACAUGAAAUGAUUUUCUAAACAUGAAAUUUAUUCAUAAAACUAACAAUAAUCUAAACAUCUUACCUCAAUAUUCUUUUAUGAAAAUUUUCAACUAUUGCAGGGUGUCCUUCAUGUCAUUGAUCAUGUUCAGGUCUGAAUAAGCAAGAGUAGUAGUGACGUACUUAAGAGAAUGACCUAUGUAUUUCAGUACAACCUAAAGAAUAUACAAUAAACAAUUUAGCAACAAAUUAGAUUCUUAAAAGUUUUAACACAUUAAAUUCAAUAAGCUUAUUAAUUUCAAAGAAGGUUGGUAGCCAAAGGUAGAAUAAUUGAGAUAAACAAACUAGGAAUGAAGAUACAUUAAUUUAAGCUAAAACAUUAUAAUUAAAUUGAUCUUUUAACUUGACAUGUUAUGAAUCCAUGAAAAAUAAUACAUUGGCAAUACUUUAUUGAUUAAAAGAGUAAAAUAACACCAAAGAUAGCAAAAACUAAAUGAUAGGGACAAAAGGUUUAUUUUUGUAAUAGUGAUCGGCAGACUAAAAGUAAAAAGGCCUUGGUGGAGGAAAAAACUAUUAUGUCAGAAUGACUAGUUUAUUUCCUUACAAUUGUAUUUAGAUUAAGGAGCUAGUAUUCACAUUGAUACCCUAUUUUAGACAAAGAGGCUUUAGAGGCUUAUUUAAGGAGAAGGAGUUGUUAUUUAUUUAUUUUUCCCAUAGGCUUAUUUGUAAGAAGUCUUAAUCUAACUUCCUAUUUUUUUAAUGUCAAAGAAAAUAUAAGUACAAGAUAUUUUAAACUUUAAGCCCAUUAGUUUAGGAGGAGGCCUCUACAAAUUUAGAUUGAAAAAGUUAUAAAGCAAGUGAUCUUAAGGAUUCAAAAUGGUUUUUUUUAGGAUAGACAUAUUCCUAAUGCAUGCACAUGUAAUGAGACUAAAGACUUUACAAAAAAGAGUUUGAAAAUGCAUGAAUUUUUGUACCAUUACAACACUAGGACUUCUACAAAUCCAACUAAUAAGGAUGUGUGCAGGAAAUACACAAAGGUUGUGACACCUACUAUGUCUACUAAGCUUCACCUCUCAAUUUGCCAAUUACACAUCCAUCAAAAUAAAGAAACCAUUGCAUGAUCCAUAUUGAAAACACUACCAACUAGGAGUACCAAGAUAUACAUUAACAAAUCAUGACUAAGAAUAAAUUAUAAAAUUAGCAUUAACAAAAUAUUCACUAGAAUUUUAGAAUAAUAUGAAGUUAUAUUAGACCAUAGGUCAUACAAGGUACCUUCAAGCAUGAGUAAUGAUUAAUUGAGUCAUUAGCAUAACCCAAUAUGAGCGAACUUCAUUAAUCUCCAUUUCACUAUAUGUUUUUCUCCCAUUAAACUAAAAUGGAAUAACAUACACCUUCACUAAGUUGAAUUGACAAAUCAAAUGCUAUAGUAAAAUGACCAACCUAUGAAUUGCAUUGUGUACAAACCUUUGAUGUUAGUUGGUUUGGAUUAGAAAUGAUUUCUUUCAUGUAUCUCAUCACUUAAUACCCACAUUCCACACUACCUGGUGGUCUUGGACACUAUGGCAAAAGUAUAAACAAUUACAACAAACGUAGAAUGAUAUAUGUUCUUACUUCUUUAGUAUCUAACUAAUCAUCAUAUUAAUAACCAUCCAUUUCCUAAUUUUGUGUAAUGAAUAAAGUGGUCAAACAAUAUAUUUUAAUCUAAAGGAAUAAGUACUUACAACCACUUUCACCUAAGUUGGCUCUCUCUUUGAUGUUUUUUAUUUUUCUGGUGGGUUGAUUAUAAUUGCCCUAUAAAAAAGAAAUGAUGUUAUAUAGAUAAUAUUCAUUGUACUAAAAUACGAGAAGUACACACUUACAUGUUAACUAUCUCCCUAAGAUCAUCACAUGGUUGACAAGCCAUUGGAUCAAUGUAAUAUGCGAUCAUUCUCUUCAUCUCUAGUGCCACUAAGACCCAGUGGAAACUAAAGAAAAAAGAAAAAGAAAUUAAUUUUGUAAUAUAAUAUCCACAAAUUAAUACAUCACAAACUAACUUAUAUACAUCAUAUCAAUAUUUGGGAUAAAAGGUUACUCUGGAUUGUAUGGAAUAAGCAUAUAUUCAGCAUGUUUUGCAUUCCUUAGUCGAUCUGCAAUGACCCUUGACCUGUUUUCUUUGCUUCCCUCUCCCAUUCCAGCUUUUGAAACCAAUGCUGGAUUGAUAAAACAUAUCAUUCAACCUGCUUUCCAUCAAUCAACUUUCUAUACAGGUGCCUAAUUAAAUCCCACAUAAUAAGUUAUCAACAAUCAUUAUAGAUCAUUAGCAAAUAACCUUUUACCUCAAAAAAGUGUGAAGAGUAAUUAAAAAAUAUAUAUAAAAUCCCUCACCAGAUGUAAUAUAAGAUACAAUUGGAUGACCCUUCUUUUGAUGAUAUAAUCAUGUCCAUAUCUUCUUUCAUUAGGAAGCUCUUGAAACUCUCUCCAAAAACAUCAUCUGGGAAGUCAAUAGGUUGUACUCUUGAGGUGCUCAGCAUGAGGCCAACCAAUGCCUCAAAAUUCUUGAUAUCUUGUGUUUUUUCACCCUUAGAUUUGACUUCAACUUCAUUUUCUUUUUGUUUCUUUCCUUUCUUAGAUGUCUAUACAAUUAAGAAUCAUGAUAUAAAUCAAAUCAACUAGUUGAAUAUGUAAAAAAAAUGGAAAAAAAAAUUUAAGGUUAUCAUAAAGCUUGGUAAUUAAAUUUACUUACCGAGAUAGGAGUAUGAAUGAUGACUAAAUAAGCUAGCCACAAAACUUGGUAACCAAUUGUAGCCUCAACAGUAGUAGUUUGUCCAAGAAUAGGAAUGGGAAGGGGUGCACUUGAAUCAUAAGGAGCAUCAACAACUACUAGAUACACAUUCAAGUAUAAUUGUGCCACCGACCACUAUAUUUUCCUUGGUCUCCAUGGCCAACUCACAUUUUCUAACCUAAAAAAUGAAGUUAUAUUAUUAGAUAUGAGCCAACAUUUCUCUAUUUCAUUCUUUCAAGUCUAUAUCUUCAAAUUAACAUUGGUGAAUAUUGAAAACCAUCUAUAAGGUACAAGCAAAAAUUUGAGAUAUGAAGUAAUUUUAGAUAACAUUGGAAAGAUUGAAUUGAGGCAUGCAAAUUAUUAUGUGGUUAUAUAAAGAAUAGCUAUUCUUAAAAUAAAAGAGGUUAGUAAUGCAUAGUAAAUCAAAAUAAUUACUGAAUGUUAAAAAGUUUCAUAAUAUAUGAAAUAAAAAUCCCAUAUGAUCUAGUUAUGUAGACAACAAAAUUAUAUUAUCUAUUUUGUGAAUGCACAAAAUGCUAAAAUAUUUUUUUGACAACUUUUUUAUUUUCUUAUAUUGCACUACAUAAAAGAAGACCAUAUAUGUGCCACCAAAAUUGAAUUAAAUUCAAAAAACAAAAUUUACAUAAAUUAUAUCUCCUAUUACAACAAACAUUAUCAUCAAAUUAGCUUAACUAGAUAAAAUACCUUGUUCUUUGGUUCUAUUGUCAUUGGUGGGGCUGCAUCUUCACCUCUACGGAUUGGCUUCUCCACUACUUCUGGUAGGAGAAAUUGUUUUUGUUUCAUGUUCAAACUACUAACAUCAGAUUGGGGAGUGACUACUCCCACUUGAGACAAUUUUGCUAGCACUUCUACCUAAAAGUUUCUUUGUUCUUCUUUAGAUGCUACUAUAAAAUCCUUGAUAGCACGAUCUACAACACUAUUAAAAUAUUGAUGAGGUGUGUGGUGCUUCCCUUUGGCCCUAACUUGACCACUAUACUCAGGAGUACCCAAGGCUUCUACAAAUAUAUCAUUACUCCCACUGACACUCCUACCAUUCUCUUGAGACUCUUUCAAUAGCUUAUCCUUAAAAAAAUGUUAAUUAUGAAGUCCAAUUACAAAUUUGUUAUCAUAAAUUAGCUAUUAUAAAUAAAUGAAAUUAAGGUUGAAAAUAUCCACCUACUAUUUUCUCAAUCACUGGUAUGGCCACUUCAUUAAAGGUGCCAUCCUUUUUUUCUCUUGUUUUCUACCAUAAUAUGCUUUGAUCAGUAGUUUCAAUUGACCCACUUGUAACCAUCUUUUAAAAGGAGACAAUGUAUAAUGUAAUAAGCAUAUAAUACUAUUAUGUAUUAUGUAUAAAAUAAAUCAAAAAACUAUAAAUUAGUACAAACUUACCAUCUCUUCCUCAAGACCAACAUAUCAUUUCCUAGUUAGAUGGUGAUUAUAAAUGUGUUUCUUUCUUCUUUCUUUUUGAACUUCUCGAUAUUCCUAUAAAUAAAAAAUAUAUAAUUAAUGAAUGUGAAUACAAGAUAUGUAAAGACUUGUAAUUAUACCUUAAAGCAAUCAGACGAUUGAUCUUUAACAAACAUUAUCCAAUCUUCAUCCUUAAUAAAAAUAUAUUAAAUUGGCGGUUUUUUAAGGAGCUCCAAUUGGUCUUUGAAAUGAAGAAUGUACUUCACUGUUAGCAUGUUCUUAAGUGAUCGAAAACAUUUUCCAAUUGUUAGCAUACAAUUCCUCCUACUUUUGUGAUUUAAUGAAAAAACACCUUACACAUUAAUAGUAUACGUGUUAGUAACUUCAUGUGGUUAGGAAUGAUUGAUGUUUUGCAUAAAGGUGAUGCAGGUAAGAAUGUGUUACCUCAAUGUUGUCCUAUAACUUAUCCUUCAACUAUUUAGGUACAAUGUGCCAAGUUUGAUAUCUUAUUGGCACCAUAGUGCAUGCUAAUACACCUAAAUAGCUUGUUAGAUGAACUAUCGAUUUUCCUAUGAAAAUGCCAUCGAGAUUGUACUUAACCUGCAAUUUGAUCCCUUUGCUUCUGUUCUUGGUAAUCAUGAACUUUCGUGUCAUUCCUCUAUACUUCCUUUUUGUGGUUUUUCUCAUUUAUCUGGAUCCAUUUUUGUAACAAAAAAAAAAAAAAAAACUAACAAAGAUUAGUUAACAUUAUAUUAGAUAUAACCUUGUUAGAGAAGAGUUGUAAAAAGAAAAUUUUAGACAAAACAAUCCCUCAUCAUUGCAUAAUGAAAUGCCACCAAUGAAAUGACCUAAUCUAUUCUCAGUUUCUUAUUCACUAGUGCCAUAAAAGUGAGACAAAGACAAUCUUUAAUUAACUUAAUUUAGUUGUGUGCUUCAGUUAUUUAUACUUUUUGUUGUUUCAAAUAUUUAUUUUUUUUAGUGAAUUGUAUGUAUUCAGAUCAUAAAUUUCAUAAACCUUUUUUUGGAAUGGUUCAUCACAUAAAAAAGUUGACAUUUCAGUUUAGCUAUUUUUUCUCCCUUUUUCUUGCUCAUUUGAUUUAUUUUAAUUUUAAUUUGUUGUAUUUUAUGAACUUGUAUAUUCUACUAUGUGUUUCUCUUAUUAUUUUUGCUAAUCCAUUGUCAUUUCUUUUUCAUAUUUAACUUACUGAAUUGUUAACUUGUUCAUAUGAAAACUAAAAAUUGCAUAUAACUGAAUGAUUACAUUUUAUUUUUUACAAACAAGAAUUUUACAAGAAUCAUACCUGAUAUUUGCUUUAGUACAUCGAAUUUUAAUGACAAGAAAUGUCAAAUGUAGAAGAAAAAAUAAUAAUACUAAUAAUAAUAAUAAUAAUAAUAACAUCAAAAUGGCAUCAACUUAGGCAAUCAACUUGAUGUUCUUUGGAAACAAAAAGAAUAAAAAUUACCUAUUUUGUGGGAUCUGCAACCCUCUCGACAUCCUUUAUUUGUACAUCAUUAUUAUAAGUUUACAAUUCAGCUACAUAGAGGAUUUGUUCUCAAUCCAAAUCCCCUCACAGUCACCUCUUAUGAAUAUUGCAUUUGAGUUAGCCAUUGCAUCAAAUGCUUCAACUUCUAGCAAUAUCCUUAUAAAGGGAUGGUAUUCAAAAGAAUUGUCCACAAGGUCAUCUCCUCCUUCCUUAUCUAAGAAAUCUUUUUGAGGAGUUGACAAAACAACUGACCAUCUUGGAUCAAGUUGGUCUUACACAUAAAAUACUUGCUUGGCUUGAGAUGCCAAAAUGAAAGGAUCUAAUUUAUGAGCAAUUUUGUUAAAGUUAACUAAUGUAAAGCCAAGAUCAUCAACUUUUAUGCCAUUCUUAUUAUCAACCCAAUCACACUUGAAAACUGGUAUCCUAAACAUGGUAUAAUCAAGGUCCCAAAUCUUGUUAAUAAUCCCGUAGAAACAAAGCUCGCCAAACACUAGCUUUUGAUCAUUGGCACUUGGAAUUUGUAUUGUUGAAUCUACAAUACUAACUACGCUAUUUUUGGUAGCUCAUAAGUCAUCACGCUUCUUGCUAUGAUAUCAACAUCCAUUAAUGGCAUAUCUAUGAUAUUUCGAGACAUAGUGGCUAGUACCAUGAGUUAUCUAGUUAAGGGUUUCAGAUAUAGGUUCAUUGUUAUCAAUUGCAGCUUCAAUCUGUAAUUAUAAAUAAUAGUUACUAUGUAUGUUCAACAUUAGAAAAAAGAAUAGUUCAAAUUUUAGCACCAAUCUGAUACCUUUUUUCGAAACCAAUAAGUAAAUGUUUGCAUGUGUUCAUCCUGGAGCCACUUUUAUAUUUUAAAUUGACGAUGAUUUUUCAAUUUCAACCAUUCCAUGUGCUCUCUAUGCAAUUAUUUAUAAGAAGUUCAAAGUUAUUAUCCUAUAGUUAAUUUAAGUAUAACAGAUAAAUAUUUAGUGUUAGUAGUUCUUACUCGACAUAAGGUUGGACAAUAGUUGUGUUCUCUAAAACAUAAUGAUGUGCAUAGAAUCAAAAAUUAGAAUCAACAAUCACAGCUUGACCUCUAGGUAUGGGUGCCCUAACUUUUUGGUUAAUGUUUACACUAACAGGAAUCCCAAUUGCAUCUACAUUUGAUAAUUACCUUGUACAAAAUUCAAUAGCUUCCUCCCUAAUAUAGCAUUCGACUAUGCAACCUUCAGGUUGGUUACGAUUUCGUACAUACCCUUUAAAAAAUUUCAUGAAUCUUUCAAAGGGGUACAUCCACCUUAAGUAAACUGGUCCACAAAGUUUGACCUCUCUUACAAAAUGCAUAGUAAGAUGAAACAUGAUAUUAAAGAAGGAAGGUGGGAAUUACUUCUCAAGUAAGCAUAAUGUCACCACUACAUCAGCUUACAACUUAUCCAAUGCAGGCACAUCAACCACUUUGCUACAAAGAGCAUUGAAAAAAAAAAACUCAAUCUAUAAAUAGCAUGUCUUACAUGCUUUGGCAAAACUGAUCGUAAUGACACUGGCAAUAACUGUUGCAUUAAUGCAUGAUAGUCAUGGGAUUUAAGACCAUAAAGCUUCAAGUCUUCCAUUGACACAAGGUUUCUCAUGUUAGAGCAAUAACCUUCAAGAACCUUUAAUUGUGAUAAAGCUUGGCAAAAAAAGCUUCUUCUCCACUUAAGAUAGUGUGUAACAUGUAGGUGGGAGAUAAGUUUGAUUUGAUUCAAACCUUGGCCCUAAUUCACACCUUAAGCCCAUCUCCAUAAGGUUUAAACUAGAAUUAAGUCCAUCAUUUGUCUUACUUAGAAUGUUAAGUGAGGUACCGAUGAUGCUUUCACAAUCAUUUUUCUCUAUGUGCAUUACAUCCAAGUUAUGACGAACAUGUAGGUAUUUUCAAUACUCAAGAUCAAAGAAUAUGAACUUUCUCUUCUAACAAUUUCUAGUUUUGACAUUCAACUUAUCUCGAGUGAAAAUAUUUUUUUCCCAUGAAUUAAAAAUGACAUCAAUUUUCCUUAGAAUUUCUUCUCCACUCAAUGGUUGUGGAGGUGAUCGAAACUCUUGUUCCUUAUUAAAUGCCUUUUUCUGUUUCCUAAAAGGAUAAUUACAAGGAAGAAAUCGUCUAUGACAUGUAUGAGUUCUUUUUCCCAUGCUUCAAUCUAUGAGAGUAUGUAUCUUCCCCACAUAUGGGGCAUGCAAAAUAUCUUUUAACUAUACAACCAGAUAAGUUUUCAUACGCAGGAAAAUCAUUGAUUGUCCAUAAUAGAACAACUCUUAAUGUAAAGAGCUCUUGUUGACAUGCAUCAUAAGAUUCAACCCACACCUCCCACAACAUUUUUAGGUCAUCCAAUAAUGGUGCUAAAUAAACAUUAAUGUCAUUUCUAGGUUGUCGUGGAACCGAUAUUAACAAAGACAUCAUCAUAAACUUCCUUUUCAUGCAUAACCAAGGCGGAAGGUUAUAAAUGACCAUUAUAAUAGGCCAACAACUGUGUCUACUACUCAUUGAAUUGUGAGGAUUUAUACCAUCUACUAAAAUGGUAAGUUUAAGGUUUCUAGGUUCUAAAGAAAAAUCAAGCCAUCUAUGAUCAACUAGUUUCCAUGAUGGGGAAUUAGAUGGAUGACGCAAUUUGCCAUCAAAUUCUCUUUCUUGGGCAUGCCAUAUGAGGUCUUUUGCAACUUUUGGGGAUCGAAACAAUCUUCUAAAUCUUGGAAUUGGAGGAAAAUACCACAUUACUUUUGCAGGGACUCCAUUUCUCUUUUUAGUUUUUGUUCUAUCUAACUUUCAUCAUGAAGUUCCACAAGUUGGACAUGAAAAUGCAUCCUUUAAAUCAUUCCUAUACAAUAUGCAAUCAUUUGGACAACCAUGCAUUUUCUCAAAUUCCAUUCUCAAUGCAUUCAAUGUCUUUUUUGCUUCAUACAUAGACAAGGGCAACUCAUUGUUUAGAGGUAACAUAUCUCCAACAAUUCCCAAAAGCUCUAAAAACUUUUAUUAGACCAUCCAUAUCGUGCUUUCAGGUUGUAUAAUUUCACUAAUGCAAACAACUUUGUAAAGUUUCUACAACUAGGAUAUAAAGGUUUUUGGGCAUCUUCAAGUAAUGUUUCAUAAAAUUCUGGGUCAUUCUUACAAUCAUCAUGUGCAGCUUGAACCAUUUCUACUAUACUAUCCACAUCAGUAAAUUGAACCUUAUGAUGACAUUAUACCCUACUAGUUGGUGGUCCACUUGGAGUAGCAUCUCCAUACCAAUACCAUGUAUGGUAACUCUGAUCAAUUCCAUAGAAAAAUAAAUGCUCUCUAAUUUUUGGAGAAGUAUGAAAUAUCAUAUUACCACAUUGAAGGCAAGGGCAUUAAAUGGAGUUUUUAUAUGCGGAAUGUUUUAAUGUGAAUGCAAUAAAACUCUCUACCCCAUCCGCAUAAUCCUUUGAUCUCCUAUCCUUUGACAUCCAAGAACAAUCCAUUUGAUGUACAAGAGAGAAACAAAGCUCCUAGAUACCACCAACCACUAAAGUUAUUAAUAACUAUCCUAUUAAUAGCCUCAAAAUAUAUGAUCCACCAAUUUCAAAUUUCAAACAUUUUCACAAAAACUUUACCAAUCCAAAAAACAACAAUGUGUAAGUCAUCUAGCUAUAAGCAAUAUGACAACAAAUAUAAUUAGUAUAUUGUGUUAUUAAAAAAUUAGAAUAAAAAAUGGAUAUGAAUUCCAUCAUUAUGUUUGGUUUGUGCAUGAAUAGGAAUAAAAAAUUAGAUGUAACUCUCAAUCUUGUGUUCUAUUCUCAAGUACACUAAGUUUGAAAUUUUAAAAAGUUUGAAAAAUACAAAAACACAUAAUUUCUGUAAUGCCACAAGAUGAGCAAGACAUAUGGAUGGAAAUAUCUUUUUAAUUAUGGGUUGAAAAUCAUUUCUUUUAAAUCUAAGUAUCUUCUUAACAUCAUCUUGAUUGUUGAAUAGUAUCAAACAUAGACAUAUGAAAGAGUAAUAGUUGAGAUAAUACCAAUACAUAAAUAUUACUAUGGAAAACAACAAAAGUCUCUAAAUGUUUCAAUUAAUAGGAAAAAAUGGGCUUACUCCAUCAAAAUUUGAUAGAGUACUUAAAAUUUCGCUUGUUCGAUGAAGCACAAAAUAAGGAAGGUAAGUAGAAGGAUGAUACUCAAUGAUAAAGCUUUCAACAUUUUCAUUGAAUUUGCUCCCAAUGAGAUAAUGAUACCAUGAACUAAAAAGGUGAACUAAUGUGGCUAAGCUUUUAAUGAGUAGAAGCAAGUGAUUUAUGCAUUCUAACAUUUACAACAUCCUUAAUUAGGUAGUGGUUUCUAUCCCAUAUAGGAAUACAUAAUCCCUAUGUAUCAAUUGCCAAUGUACUCAAUUUAAUUUUAAAGAAAUUUCGGCUGCAUUUUCCUAUAGUUCUCCAAGUGCACAAAAUGGACAAGGCACAAUAUGUAACCUUGUCCAAAUAUGCACCCAAAGAACACGAGAAAAGACUACCAAACUUUCUAAAAAUAGAUUUAAGAACAAACAAUUAACUUUAUAGAUAUUAUGUUUUCCUAUACUGUCCAAUUGGACAAUUCAAGCAUCAUUUGUAGAGAAAAGAUCUUUAUCACAUGCCAGACAAAUUUAAAAGUUGUCAACUUGAAAAUGGCCUAGAUAGACCGUUUUCACCAUUUGACAACUUAAAUGUCUUUAUUAUGUAAUAAGAGAAACUUUUUUCUUCCAAUGAUACUUGAAUGGGAACUCUAAGGUUUCAAGCAUGCAUGUUUGAUUAAAAUUAAAACAUUAUAAUGAUUUAUUAAAUUAUUAUAAUAUAGCAACAUAACUCUCAUUCUAUCAUGCUUAUCUUAAAUAUGUAACAUUUAAGAUGGAGCCAUAAGAACCUUUUCACAACUUAGACCAACAUCUUCUACAAAAAGGGUUCACACUAAAUAUAAUCAAAUUAAUAUGAUUUGACAAUUUUAAAUGCACAAUAAGUAAUUAUCUUACAAAACAAAUAAUAAGGCAACUAAAAGAAAACCACAGUGACAUGAUCAUGCAAAUGAAUUGCACCUACAAAACAAGUAAUAUGAAUGCCACUACUUGUAAUAGAAUAUAAGGCUCAGGAGGAGGUGGAUAAGCAUGCAAAGGAAAAGUCAUGACUGAUAACCCACUUGUUGGUUUUAGUACCCAUGACCAACAUGUUCGCUAUCCUAGGUACAUAAGGAACUGUUGCCCACUAAUCCAUGAGUACCAUGAACUAGCCUAGCAAUUUUUUGACAUCUAAUUCAUCAUGACAUGCAUGGACAAAGUCUAAACUUCACACUCAAUAAUCAGGAUGCAUUAACUUUCUCAUCCACUUGUACAAUUGUCUAAUAAAUUUCAGAAAUGCAUAUGAGCUACUCCCUGUAGUAUGUACAAAUUGAAAUACACAAAAUUAAUCUAUAAGUGAGUUGUAGGCAUACCUGAACUAUGCUUAUAGGCAAAAAUGAUAUAUCCGUGUAGACUCAAAGAACUUUAAAGAAUAGAGAUGCUAAGCAAGGGUACUCUAGGCAAGGAUACAUCUACAAUUAUUGAAAAAAAAAAAGAAUUGUAUCACCAAAGAAAGCUUCUAUUUGCAAAACAGAAGGAGGUAAGAUAGUAGGUUUUUCAAUGAAGCUAUGAAAGAACCUCUAAUCUACAUGCAGAAACUAUAUCAAAGAAAAAAUAUAUCCGACUAAUUAAAUUUCACAUAUAAAGUAUAGGACAUAUAAAAUUAUUAUCUUUCUUUUUAGGAAUAAAGGUAAAUUAGUCAUGUCUUUUUAUUUCCUUUGAUUGUAAACUUGUUUAAACUCUAUUUGUAUUACAUUUAUUUUUUAAGUAAUUAUAUAAAAGACCUUAGACUUUCUUUCUUCUCUUUGUUUGUGAUUCUUUUGAAGCUCAUAUUUGUGCACAACUUGGAACAAGCCCUUAUAUUUUUCUUGAAAGAACAUGCAUUCUACCAUUUUGGAAACAUCUUAGUUUAGCUAUAUGCUGAUGCUAUAAAUUUGAAAAAAAAAAAAUUUACUUGAAUUGCUUCUUUGAAUUGAUUCUCCAAAUAGACACAAGCAAAAUCCCCUUUUUAUUUAUUUUAAAAUUUGGAGCAUCUUUUAAUGUGAUUUAAUAUUACCUAAUGAACCCAAGAUAAAAUGCAGUGGCCAAACUCUAUUCAUCCUGUAGAUAAUAUUGGUGGAAUCAUGAAUUUAGCAGAUGGCUCGUAAAGCAGCAAAUUGGAACAGAAUGGUGCAAAGCCUGGUGAACGUGGGGGCUGAGCUGCCCUCCAUUUAGCUUGGGCAAUUUCCAACAUCGGUUUUAUGCUGUGUUUGAAAAAUCGGUUAUCGAUAAGUCGGGACGUGUGGCAAUGCGCACGUGGGCAACGGGGCAGUGUCAAAAUAAUCUUCCAUAAAUGGUCGGCAGUUUUUUUUAAAAAAAAAAAAUUAUCCUAUUUUUUAAUUUUUUAAUUAUUCAUUUUUAAUUUAUCAUUUUAUUUUAUACCAUCCUUUUAUUUUUAACUACUUUCCAUAUUUAUCUCAUUAAUUCUAUUUUUUAAACUUCAAUCUUAAUAUUUUUUUUAUGUUUAUCCUAUUAAUUUUAUUUCAUUUUAAAUGUUUUUGUUUUAAAAAAUUAAAAAUAUUUUUUACUCAAAAAUUAUAAAAUAUAAAAAAAAUAAUGAAAUUCUAAUAUUUUAUAAAUUAAAAUUAAUUUAAUAAGAUAAAUUAUUAAUAAUUUUAAUUAUUUAAAUAAAUUAGUGUUAAUAGAAAAAGUUAUCACUACAAGAUUUGUAAUAAAAUUUUAGAAAUUAAAUCUCAAACAAAAUAUGUUAUAUAAAUCAAUUUAAUUUUUUAUUUAAAUAUAAUAAAACAUGGUCUAAUAAAAAUAUUUUUAAAAUUUUAAAAUAAAUGAAUAUAAAUAUAUUAAAGAAAUUUAAGCUAAUUUUUUUUAAUAAAAAAAUUGAUAAACAUUAUCUUUAAUCAUACUUGUCAAUUACACUUACAAAAUAACUUUAAAAUAUGUAUUCCUUAUUUUAUAAAUUUUUUUUUAAGUUUUUAAGUGUUUUAAUGAAUUUUGAACUAUUUAUGUUUAAUCGAUAUUUUUGUCAAAAUAUUUUUUAUAUAUCCAUAAAAUUCAAGUCUGAUAUAUCGGUAUUUACCGAUAUUUCAAACCUUGGGUUGGUGAUGUUGCCGGACUAGUGUUAGUCCAUGCUUUGACCCAUUCAGCUUUAAUGAGUACUAAUAAUCUUUUCGUCACAAUUUUCCAAUUUAUAAGGUUAUAAUUGGCUAUUUAAAAAGAAGAAAAAAUUGGUAACCUGAUUGCUUGAGGCUAGUUUGUCAAUAUUUCUGAGUAUAUAUUCUAGAUACAUAAUAAAACAAUAAUAAUAAUAAUAAUAAUAAUAAUAAUAAUAAUUAUUAUUAUUAUUAUUAUUAUGGGGUAUAUUUAAUCCAAACUACUAAAAAUAUAUGAUAAAAUCUAAAUCAUUAAAUAAAUUAAUAAAUAAAGAAACCUAAGUAUAAAAGAAUAGAAAUGGGUACAAACAAUGAAAUUGAAGUACUAAAGCAUGAAACAAAUGUAUAAAACAAUAAGACGUUCAAAAUAAAGGGAUCCAUGCACAUGUGAUGCAAUUUGAUUAAUUGCAAUUUUGAUAUGUUGCACAAUUCAAUAGUGUAGUGAGAACCAAGAGUAUACAACAUGAAUGUUAAUAUUCUAAUAAAAAUUUAAGUUAUAUUUUUUUUGUUAAAAUAAAUAAUAAUUUUUCUAAAAAAAUACCGAUUAAUAAUAAUUUAUUUAAAAUGAAUUCUAAAAGAUGUACAUAACUUUUAAAAAAUAUAUAAAUAAUCUUUUUUUUUCAUUUAUUUAUUUAUUUUUAACUAAGGAACAUGUUUACUAUCUAAUUAUUUUGAGUAUUUUAUACCAAAUUUAUUGUUGAAAUUUUUUCUAUUAAAUGAGUUGCAAAUACAAAUUCUCUAUUCAAGAAGUUUAGGCACAAUGGGUUACAUUUUUGUACUCCUUGUCCAUGAAUGCAUUUAUGAAAUGAUUUUGAAGCAAAAUAAAUAUUUAUGGUCUAUUGAUAAGAAUUAAAGAACUUCUUGUUUAUGAUUCUCUCGUCUAUCCAUAUGAGACUUGUAAGCAAUGAUGAAAUUAUAGGCUUCUCAAAUCAGUAUGCAUAUGAUUGGAGAUGGUGUAUGAAAAUAAGGUCAUGAAACUUAUAACAAUAAGAUGAUUAGCUGCUUUGUAACUUAAAUAAAACCUUUUUUCUAUUAUAAAAACUGAAAAAUAAAAAAAUUAUAUAAAAAUUUGGUAAUUGAAUUACAUUUAAGAAACCUUAAAUGUUGUUUCAUAUAUUUAAAAUAUAGUACCUUAAUAAUUAAAAAUAAUAUAAAAAUUAAUAUACACUUUGUUUAAAAUCUAUUUGCUUAUAAAUCUAAGUUAUUAAGUAAUACCUCCUAUCUUGUCCUCCAAAUGAAUAAGACGUUACCUAACAACUCAAUUUUAUAAGGAAAUGGAUUUUAAAAUGCAAAUAAUUGAUUGGUAAUAUCUAAGAAAUUCAAUGCUUGACCUAAUACCAAAAUAAAAAUUGAAGAUAAUCAAUACUUAAAAUAAUAUAAAGAUGAAUACAAAUAUUAUUCAAAAACUACUUGUUUAUAAAUUUAAGUUAUUAGGUAAGACAUCCCAUCUCAUCCACCAAAUGAAUAGGCCAUUGCCUAACAACUUAAAUUUGUAAGAAAAUAGAUCAUAAAGUACAAACAAUUGGUCAAUGAUAUUUAAGAAAUUUAAUGUUAUCUCUCACCUAAGAUUAAUACAAAAAUUUAAGAUGAGGAAAUAGUUGUUUCAUAUUUAAAAUACAAUAUCUUAAUAAUUAAAAAUAGUAUGAAAUAAAUACUGACAUUAUUUAAAAUCCAUUUGCUUAUAAAUUUAAGUUGUUAGAUAAUACAUCCUAUUUUAUCCUCCAAAUAAAUAAGAUCUUACCUAACAACUCAAAUUUGUAAGUAAUUAGAUCUUAGAAUGCGAACAGUUGAUUGAUGAUAUCUAAGAAAUUCAAUACCUAACAACUCCAAUUUGUAAUUAAUUAGAUUUUAAAAUAUGAACAUUUGAUUGAUGAUAUCUAAGAAAUUCAAUUUUUUCUUUGAUCUAAAAUGAAUAUAAAAAUUUGGUAUGAGGAUUGUUUGCUCAGCUAUUGAAACUUAAUAAGAUCGGAAGGGACAAAACUUAUGGGGAUAUGUUUGCCAAUAGAGUGAGGAAAAUAAGGAAUGGGUAGCAUUUAGUACUUGAUUCAAACAGAAAAGGUUAAAUGGAAGUAUCAAGAAACAUUGGGUUUGGAAAUGAUCGUGCACUUUUUAAAAGUCAUAUAUAGGUAGAAUGAAGAGAAAAUUAGAACAAAUGAACUUUAAUUUUUUGGUAUUUUCGAUACUAAAAGGGUGUUUUGAUACGAAUGAACAAAUGAACAUUUUGCUGAGAGAAAUGCUUGGAAGGAGUGAGAAAACCUUCUCUCUCUCUCUAUAUAUAUAUAUAUAUAGUCUCUAAAAUUAAAAUUUAAAACAUACAUGCAUCAGAAUGCAGCAACUAAUACUACACUCUCAAUAUGCUAAUUAUUAACCUUACACAGGCAAGUUCUGUUACUUAAUAGAAAAAGAAGAGAGGACAACAUGCUCUGAAAAGAGUUCUGAAACGAAAUUCUGUUUCUUCUUUCAAACUUGAGUAAUAGGAGCUGCAGUUGGCUGUGGAGAUUGGGUAUCGGAUUUAUUCCCACAAAUCCAACGAAAAGCCUUUUUCACGGUCCAGAACAGUCCUUUGAAAGCUAGAUAUAAACAAUAAAAGAGGACAACGACGAAUAUUGCAACACCUUUGAGGAAUUUUGCAACAAAACAUUUGGCAGAUUCUGUGCAACAUCUCAGGACUGCUGAACGUAGAGGUGAAUAUGAGAGAAAAAAAAUGGGGACAGGAAGAAAUCCAACCACACUCCAAACAGCAUUUUUCCAAUUAUGUGUCAUCAUGAUCAGGAUGAUUGUUGCUCCAAACGCCACCGCCAUCAUUGAGACCGAGAGGAUCAUACAUAUAAUUCCCUGUGUCAGCUUCUUAAAAAGAUAUGUUUCGAAGUCUUGUAGUGGAAAUGAGGAUGUAAGGAUGGAGAGAAAUUUACCCACAGAUGUCAAAGCCAAAGUGAGGGAGAACACAUCAGCUAAUAUGAAAACCACAAAGAAGGGUUUAGAGUUAAGGAUUGGAAUACCGGUGUCUUGAUUAGGACCUCCUGGUACCGUGUAGGCUGCUGCAAAGGCAACAGUGGCUAUGAAAAUAGAAAGAAUGGUGCAAUUCUCAGUGGUGCGCAUUAGCCAUUCCUUGGCAUCUCGAUGGAGUCUCUCAUUCCUAGCAGCAAAUAAUUCUUCAGCAGUCUGGUUAUCUUUGUUGAGAGGCUUGGUCAAAUGCAUCUUACAGGCUGACUUCACUUUCUGCACCCACACAUACAAUCACAAGUAGCACCGUUAUUCUAAUGUAACACAUACAAGCUUUUUUGUUCUUUCUAAUCCCUCCAUUUAUCAUUAGACUAAAUUAAAAAUAUUAGGGAAAAAAAAAACCUUCAAAGUAAUUAUUCAUGAACUUUUAGGUUGUGUUUGAUUCUUAGACGAUUCUUAAAUAAUUUGAGGGAAGUGGAGAAAAAUAAAGGGAAAAAGUAGAAGAAAAUAAAAAAUGAAAGAAAAAAAAAAGAUUUAAACUCAAAAAUCAUUUUUAUAUAUUACUUUAAACUCAUUUUACUUAUUUUAACUCUUAUCUAAGGAUUAAAUAAUUUCAAAAUAUUCAAGUAUUUUUUUAUUAAUUUUAAUUAUAUUUUAUUUUUACAUUUUAUAUUUUAUAUAUUAAAACAAAAAUGAGAAAAUUAUUUUUUAAUACUUUUUUCUUUCUUUAGUAUUUUUCUAAUAACUUAAACUUUAUGAUCAAUUAGUGGAUUUUAACAUGGUAAGAGUAGCUUGGUCUUGAGUUUGAAUCUCAUUGGUGUAUUGUUUAUUCUCUCUAUGCAUUAAUUUAACCUUGUGUAAGCCUAAAAAAACCUAUAGUGAUAACUUAAAGGAUCAUUUUACAACAUUGAAAAGCUAAUUUUCAUAUCAUACACAAAAGUGAUGGUCAAAUAAAAAUUGAUAGGUGGUAAAAAUGAUCUUAUUUAUAUUUAUAUUUGUUAAAAAGGUUCUAUUUAUCUCUAUUUGUGAAACUAAUCUUGGUUUUGAUAAUAAUAAAACAAAAAUUAAAACUAAUAAUUUAUCCUAAGUAUGUUUAGGCAAAAAGAUUUUCAAAAAAGCAAUAAAAGAUGAAUUAAAUCAAAUAAAAAUUAAGAAGAAGGAAAAUACCUCAUAGAAAAGAAAAGUCAAGACCUAUUCCCUAGGAUCUCUUUGUAAAACUAUUGGUGUACUAGGUUCAUAGCACAUUACAUUUUUAUUGAAUACAUAAAAUCAUCCAAAUGUCUAAAUAGAUUUUAUUUUCUUGAAUCUAAUCCUUCCUAAUUAAGCUUUUUUUAAAGGUUUAUGAAGUUGAAUAAAAGUUUCCAGGAAUUCCAGGCCUCAAACUAGCUAGGGUCUUUUAUACACUUUACAAUAUAAUUGGUUGAAGUAGAAAGGAAUCGAUUAAGCCAGUUAUGCUCAAUUUAGUAACCCUAAUAACUAGUAGCCCAUUGAUUAGUCGAACCUAGACUAUGUUUAACAACUAGUUUGAGUUUCUAAAUCCUAUUUAAACCAUUCUUAAAUAUUAUUUAAGCCUUUUUAAAGUGUUUUCAAAGUGACUUGCUUUCAAACUUGUAUUUCAUCUUAGUACUAUAGGAAAACCCAUAUUUCUUUGUUCCCUAUACCUAGAUCAAUUUAAGUACAUGCAAAUCUUUCUUAGGCUUUAUCUAAAUCCUAUAUUUAGAGAAAACAAACAAUUUUAAACAAUAAUAAGAUUUAGAUAUCAAAAAAGAAAAAUUUAACUUAAUUUGAAUAUUUUCAAAUCAAAUCCAUGCAGUGAAGUAUUUGAAGAAGUUGUUGGAAGUCUCAUAGACCCACGGUCUUCCGCUCGAUGGCUCUUCCUUAAACCUUGGCACUCAACAGAUGGGAAGAAAAGAAGGGUAGAGGCUAUGACUCUUUCUCUGAAAAUGGAAGACAAGUCUUUAGAAACCCUCCCUAAAUGGGCAUUUAUAAGGUUCUCCAUAAGCUUAAGUGACUUGAGCCCAUUAGGGGCUUGGGUCACUCAAUCUAGACUAAAAAAGUUCUUAAUUGAUUAAUUAACCCAAUACAGCUAUCCAAUUAAUUAAUUAACUCAAUUUAGAGACCUUGUUCACUAACUCAUGUGCAAUCUUAGGUAAUUAUCAAAAUAUUUGUAUGCAUAAAAGUGAACCUAGAGCCAACCCAACUCUCAUAGAUAAUGUCAUCAAGGUAUAUGAGCUUGAGCGGGAACCAUUGGAACCAUUAGAGAAUUAAUUCCAUAAUAAUUCACUUUUGAAGUUGAUUCAACAUCCCACGAUAGAGAAUCAACUACACUUCAGUAUCCUAUGCAAAUAACAAUGAGACAAAGCUUGGAUUUGUGACCUACUGUCCAUUGCAUGUAGAGUACUCCCAAGAACUGGUGUCUAUAAUCUAAUAAGUUAAUGUUAUAUCACCUAUCAAGAUUACCCUUCCAAUCCUUGAAUUACAUAUCUCACUUACUAUAUGAUUAAUUGACAUACUCUACCUUCAAAAAGCAUAUGUCAAGUUUCCAUUAAUGGAAAUGCUAUGACCAAAGUCUUCUAGAUCACAUGCCCUUUAAAUCAACUAAAGGACACACUAUCUCAAACCCAUAAGAUAUUAUGGCUCCUCUAUUGAGAAUACCUAUUACCACCACUAGCCUCCAUCAACAAUGACUCCAUCCAUAAGAAUAUGUGACCACCUUAGGGUCUUACCCAUGGGUCAAAGACUCAAUACCUUCUCAAGGUUGAGAGUCUAUGCAAUAUAGUAGCUUGGUGAAUCAUGAUAAUUAAUUAAUAGUCUUACAUCAUGAUUCACCAUUAGUCUUAUCUAGUGUGCAUUGCAUACACUAGUACACUCACUAUGGGAAAACCAUCUUGAUAACCAAGACAAGUCAUUCCUCCAAUUAAGAGAUAGUGCACUACAAACUCACAUGGAUUUCCCAAAUCCAUGAACUGAUUGUGGACUACUUAUCACUCUACAAGGAACCCAUGACAUGGAUCUUUUGUGCAACUCCUAAUACACCCAAGUCAUAUACAAUGCAAGUGAUGUGAGCAUGUAUGCUCAAAUAACCAAUUGAUGCAUAUGGGAAACCAAAAAACAUAGAUAAAUAAAUUUAUAAAUGAAUCUCAAUUGGUUACUUUAUGUCAUGCUUUAUAGGACUCAAUCCUAACAAGUACACCAUUCAAUUCUAGUUUUUGUAUAUUCCAUUGUACCAAAAUUGUAAACUAGAAGUUUUAUUCUUAUCAAAUUUUUUCUUAUACAUCUUGUGAGUAGGCUUAAUUGUAUAAGGAAUCAAUUUAGUGAAAAAUUUAAGUGUGAGGUAUCACAUAGGGUUGUCCAAGUGUGGAAUGUCACUUAGGGAUCUUUAAGAGUGAGACAUCUCUUAAACAAUGAGGUAUUGCUUAAGAGAAAUUAUAAGUGCCUAUUAGAGACAUCUAUUAAAGAGUGAGGUAUCACUUAAGAAAAAUUAUUAGUGCCCAUUUGAGCUAGUAAAUCCAAGAGUAAAGUAUAAAGGCUUGGUUUGGAAUCAUAAAUAUAGUGGAACCUUAAGCUUGGAUUGAAACUUGAGGAGAAUGGAUAUAGGUUAAGUUGCUUCAAAUCACUAUAAAAUCUUAAGUUCACAUUUCUUUCUUCCCUUACUCUCUUUACUUUAUGUGCAAUUGCUACAAUUGUCACUUGCUUUGUAAGUUUAAAUUUAUAAAAAGUGAUCAUCACCUUAUUCAACCUCCUCUCCCCUCCCUCUCUCUUCUAGGGUGAUUACCUUAGGUUGGUAUAACUAGAAUCAUAACAAUUGAUAUCGAAGUAAGGCCUUUUGCUUAAGACUUAAUAAUCUGUAAGGAAUAACAAAUCAACCUAAUUCUCUACUCAUGGGAGGUUUUUUCAGUUUCAAAAUAGAUGUCAUAUUCCAACUAAAAUUGAAAACAAAAAUAGAUAUCAUAUUUUUUUUCAGAUAUGAUUAUAGGUAUUCAAAAACAAAAAUGACUUGGUUUUUAAAGUCUAUUGAUUUUUAUUUAUGGAAAGUCAUUCAAAAUAGAUAUAAUAUUCCAACUAAAAUUGAAAAUGAGGUAUCCAUUCCAAAGUCAAUCCAUGAGUGAAAUGAGUAAGAAAAGAAAAAUGCCCAAUUAAAUGCUAAAACUAUAUGUCAUAUGCUAGAAUAGAAUCCUUAUAAUCAUGGCAUGAUGUAAUUAGAUUCGGAAUUAAAUUCCUAAAUGAAUUUUUACAUUUCUAAAGAAUCAAAAACUCUUCUAAAGGAAUGGAUAUAGUGUCAAUCAUCAUGAAAAGGAUUAUCAAAUUGGCAUAAGAAGUUUAGAAAUGCUUCAAAUUGUUUUUUCUAUCUUAUCCUAUUGGUUUGAAUUUUUUUCAUAAAGAACAAUUGAAAAUGUAUUGAAUUCUGAUCAUACAAAGAAAAAUCAUUUUAAUGAAAUUGACAUAACAGCUAUCCCAAGGUUUGGAUUAAGAAGAAGUCAUCAUUUAUGAAAACCUUAGGUGAAAUAAAAUGAUCACAUGCUUGCAUGUUUUAAUGAUGUUAAAUUAUGCAUGUUAUGUGUUGCAUCUUUUAAAUUGCAUAUGUUGGGAAAUAACGAUAUGCUUUAAAUGAAAAAUAUUUCAUUCCCUUACCAUUUUUAGAAAAUCAUGCUUUAAAUUGGAAAAUGCUCUAAGAUUGAGAAAAUUUUUAUUUGAAAUAUAUUUUCAAAUGAAAAACAAAAAGAAGAGGAAAAAUGAUGUUAUUCUUAUUAUUUAUUUUUUGUGACAUCAUUUAUGAUUGAUAAAUAAAUUCUCUUAUUAUACUUAAUUGAGACUUUUUGUUGAUGACAAAAAGGAGGAAAAUUAGUAAUAAGUUAUUGUAGUACUAGGAUGAUAAUAUUUGUUUUAGCAAUCUUGAAUACUAAUGCUUCAUACUUCAAUUAUUAUAUACAUGCAUGCAUCCUAUUUGUUAUCUUACCAAUUGCUAAUUGCUCUUUGUGUUGUUAAUAUUUUGGUUAUAUUAUUUUUUAGCACCAAUAUAAUCCUUAAGAUUCUUAAAAUUGAACAUUUUCUAAAAAUCAAGGAGCAUAUAUUAAGGGGAAGUAUUUGAGCAACUUGAUUUUGUCAUCUCAAAAAGGAGGAGAUUGUGAAACUAAAGUUUGGUUAAUUUUUGUUUUGAUGAUAAUAAAACAAAGUUUGACACUAAUGAUUUAUUCUAAGUAUAUUUAGACAAAAAGAUACCUAAAGAAGCAAUAAAAGAAAUAUCAAGUCAAAGGAAAAUCAAGAAGAAGGAGAAAACUUCAAAGAGAAGGGGAAUAAAGACCUAUUAUCUAGGAUCUUUUUGUAAAGUUGUUAGUGCACUAGGUUCAUAUUACAUUACUUUUUUUAAUUGAAGCACAUAAAUUCAUCUAAGUAUCUAAAUCGAUUUUAUUCUCUUAUAAACUAAAUGAUUUCAUGUUCUUGAUUAAAACUAUGAAUCUAAUUCUUUCUAAACUUGUUUUAAAAGAUUUAUGAAGUUGAAUAUAAGUUGUUAGAGGUUCCAAGCCUCAAACUAGGUCUUUUAUGCACUUUACAAUGCAAUCGGUUGAGGCAAGGAAGAACAUGUUCAAUUGAGGUGCACUUGCACUUUGUUUCUUUUAGUAGCAUGUGUUCAACCAUUGACGUUAAGCCUCAACUAGUUGAGUCGAUUGGCCAACAAUAAACGCAAUGGCUAGUAGUUUGUUGAUCGGUUCAUCAACUUGUUAAACCUAAACUAUGCUUAAGAAGCAUGACUAGUUUAGGUUUCUAGCUCUUAUUUAAAGGCUCCAAGAUUCUUGUAUUAAUGGGAAAGAGUUCUAAAUGAUUCUUAAAUAUUAUUUAAGCUUGAAGGAGUGUUUUUAAAGUGUACUUAAAGAGUUCAUCUUAGUGCACCGUUCAACCUUAUUUUUCUUAUAUUCCAUUAUGCAAAAAUUGCAAACUAGAAGUUUUAUUCUUAUCGAAUAUUAUUUUAUAUACCUAGUGAGUUGGGCUCAAUUGUAGGGUAUCACUUGAGGGAAAAAUUUAAGUGUGAUGUAUCACAUAAGUUUUGCCAAGUGUGAGGUAUCUCUUGGAGAUCUUCAAGAGUAAGGCAUUUCUCAAGGAAAAAUAUAAGUGCCCACUGAAGCCAAUUAAUCCAAGUGUAAACCUUGAAGGCUUGAUUUGGAAGCUUUGGGAUAGUGGAGUCUCAAGCAUGGGAUUGAAUCUUAAAGAGAGUGGAUAUAUGCUAGGUUGCUUGAACCACUAUAAAAUCUUAAGUUUACAUUUCUCUUUUCCUUUACUUUCUUUACUUUAUAUGCAAUUGCAUUUCAUUAUACUUGUUAUAUUAUUACAUACAAUUGUCACUUGCUCUUUAUAUUUAAAUUUGUUAAAAGCAACCAUCACCCUAUUCACCCUCCCCUAAGCAAUUAUCUUAGGUUGGUAUAGUUAAAACCCUAACACUAUUUAAUUAAGACUUAUUUACUGCAUUUAGGUUUUAUUUCUUAGUACCUUGGUUCUAUUUGGAAUCUAAUGAUCUAAAUUUUAUUAAAUACAUUAAUGACUCAAAUUUGAAAUUUAGUACCUAAUAAGUACCUUAUCAUUUUCCUAACUUGGAUACAUAUUUUUCAUCCAUUACUUAAUAACUUAUUAUUAUUAGUAAUGAAGAUUAAUAAUCAAAUGACUUGCCACAAGUGUAUGCAUGAGCACAAUGUUUAUGGUUAUCAUUAAUGGGUAAGUAGAAGUGCACCUUAAACAACAGCAACUCUUUUUGUAGUUGGGAUGCAGGGCUUUGCAUCUUUUCACUAGCUUGACUUUUUCUUUUUAGGCCAACCAUAUGUAGUAAGGAGUUCCCUUUUUUAUCUAUAGCUGAUAAUAGACUUCUUGCAAGCAAUUCAGAUUUUGAUACUAUAUCAAAAAUUUCAAUAUGACGGUAAAGGAUUGCCACAUGUAGUAUGUUCAUUCCCUCCUUAUUAGUAUGCUCAAGUGCUUGAGGAUGACAAACCAGUAUUUCUUCAACAAUGUCUUGAAUGUUUGAUAUUGUUGCCAAAAAUAAUGGAGCUUCAUCGCUCUUCUUGUACUUGUAGUUGGUUGAACUUUCUUGGUAGUUUUGCCCUUCAUUUUCUUGGAAAUUUUGGCCUUUCUUUUCUUGGGAUAUUUUUUCUUCCUUUUCUAUAUCCAACUCCUUAGUCUCACCUAAGCCAACUUCUUGAGAAUUAACACUAGGAUGCCAUGAUGUAUCAUUCUUUACCAAAAGCUUGACGAGUCCUUGAAGUGAAUAGCAUCUGCUUUUAGUAAUAUGAGACAUGUUAGAUUACUUUUACAUAAUAUAUUGAAAUACAAAAAUGUAUCACAAGUAAAUAAUCUAGUAUUAUAUGAUGUUUAGGUAUGGAAUAUUAUUAUAUUGAAAAGGGUAAUUGAAAUCUAAUAGUACAUAUUAAUCCAACCACAAUAGCUUUCAAUAAUACAUUUGUAAUUUAAUCGAUUAUAAAGGGUGAGGAAUAUUUUACAAUUUCUUUUACAAGUAGUGCAUAGAUGGAUCUAUAAAGAAGAUUUUGUUUUCCUUUUCUCUUUUUUUAAUAUUUUCUAAAGGCCUUUUAAAGUUAUAAAAAAUUGGGUAAUUGCCAAAAAUGAGAAAUAGUCACAUGGAAAAAUAGUUUCAUUUCUUUUCUACAUUGCAUUUGUAUUGAAAUAUCAUUUUUUUCAUAUUUAAUGUAUUCAACAUUGCCUUGGUAUGAUAUCUAUUUGUUUAUACCUUAGAGUUGUUCUUUAAAAGUGUGAUCUUUGUAUGAAAAUAUUUAUUUUUUAAAUUUUCCUUCUUUCACUUUGAGUAAAAUAAAAAUGGGUUCUAGAAUAUGUGCAUGUGAAGGAUUCCCCUUUUGAUCACUCCUAAUCAUAUAAUUAUUUAUCUACCAAAAAUUUCACAUAGCGUGGCUGAAAGUUAUAUACCUAAAUUAUUUAAUAAUCUCCUAUACAACUUAUGUAACCUAUCAUAACUUAAUUUAUAGAACCAAAUGUUUUUGAACAAAAAAUUAUAUAUAUAUAUAACUUAUAAAAUUUUCAAUUACCAUUUUCAAUAAUCACUUAAUAAAUUUGAGUUUAAAUAUAGAUUUAUGAGGGAUUUUUUGUCAUCCAUUAGAAAUUGGCAUCAUAUGGUUUAGAAAACAUCAUUACUUUGUACUUGAUUAUUAUGAUUUACAUAUUUAACUCUCAUUCCUUUCUAUAACUAAGUUAUGUUUCUUCAUUUCUUUAUUCAAUGGUCUAGAUUUACCCAUACACAUUAAUGACUCAAAUUCAAAAUUCAAUAAAAUAAUAAAUCGGUAUCCUAAAUUUUUUUUCUAUGAAAUCUAAAAGAAAAAUUGAAGCCUUUUUGAGCCUAACAAUAGGCUUGGGUUGAGUAUUGAGUCUUUUGAGCAUUUCAGAUGUUGGUCAAUCAAGAAUUGUUGUAUGUUCAAGAAAGAAUUCAUGUAGUUUGAGAAGCAAUUUGCAAAACCUAUUAAUAACAUUUGUCUAGUUACAAAUUGUAGUGAAAAGCUACCCAUGUGUGUUUCUUUAAUUUGUUUUCCUUUAAGGAAUUAUGUAUGAUAAAAUUUAUCAAGUAUUUAGUUUGAAUAUAUUUAAGGAUAUAAAAGAAAUAAUGAUAUAUGUAUAAUUUUUUAAUUUAAAUUUUUUUAUAAUUUAUUUAUAAAUUUUAGUUUUUUGACAUUUAAUUAUUACACAAAAAAAUAUAAACAUAUUCAUUAAGAAGAUUAUUAUGAUAGUUUUUAUAUUUUGGAUGAUAAGGCAAUGAAAUUUACAAAUAAAAUUUGUUAGCCCAAGGGUUCUUCUAAUCCCAUUUUAAUGAUAACAAACCAUGGUUAAGUAGCUAAUUGGUUUAAAUUAUAAAGAAUUUCAGGUGUUAGUUUGGAAAUUCAUCAAAUGACUCAAUGGAUUCAAGAUCAAGACAUUUGGAAGACCUUUAAUCAUAAAAAACAUAUGUAAGACGAAUGCAUGGGUGCACUUAGGAUUUUUUAUGAAUUCCCCAAUUUUUUAUGGCAAAUGCCAAGGGAAUUUUGAUUUUUGGUAAAACAAAUUGACCAUUUUCUAAGUAUAUAUUUAUAUGAUGUUCUAUAUGAUGCAUAUGAUUGCAUGCUGUGAGAGCAUCACUCAAGUACUUCCCUAUGGUCGCUUCCUUUCCCAAGUAUUCAAGGAUGUUGGCAUUAACCUUAGUAGAGAGACGAACUUUGAGGAUCCCAGUACAUAUGAUACAUAUGAUGAUCAAUCCAUGGGGCGAAUGAAAUUUGAGAAGACUCCAGAUGGUUUUUGGAUCAGAAAAGCAAAGAGAGCAUUGCCAUGGGGACAACAAUAAACACACCUUAGAGUUGAGAAGGAGGCAAGGAUUAAGCAGAUGAAGAGUGGAGUAGAACCUCAAGGUAGACUAGACCCUCAGAGUGGCUACUAGCAGAGAGGGCUCGAGCUUGAUAUUCCCUUACUUCAAGCAAAGAUUCCUUCAUAGAUCAGGGGUGUUUAGUUUGAGUCCACUUUCUCUAAGUCGAUGAUGACUUAGCCAGCUUUUAUAGACGAACCAUCUACUCAACCAUUAUACACCGAGCCCACCUAUACUAAGAUACCACAGCCUCAGGUACCUUCUACUCCUAACCAUGCUCCUUGAAUGGAUUUAUUUGCUCGAAUUAGCUUUCUUGGUACUUGUAUGGUGGAGCUUGUAGUGGUCAGUGACACAUGAUUUAUUCUAUGGAGGAUAUGAUGGACAAGAAUCAGACUGUGUUCACUUCGCAGUUUGAGUAUCUCCAGUAGAGGAUUAAUUGCAUUAAGGAUUGCAUGGUGCGUUAGCAUGAGGACAUUAUGGCCUACUUGCGUUCCGUGUUUCUACCUCCACCUCCUCAACCUUGAUUCAUUUAACAACUCCCUUAUUCCUUUUUUAUGUUGCCAAAGGGGAAGAUAUUUUAGGAUCUAGGAGGCUAGAUAUAAGAGACUCAUACAUGCAUAUCAUCUUUGUUAGAUCAUACAUUGCUUAUCUUUAGUUAUGUUAAUUUGAUUGGACAUAUGAUGUACAGACUAAUACAUUUGACUUAUGAUGUAUGAUAUGCCUAUAUAUUUGAUGACUUGUAUUGUUUGUUGUUGCAAUACUCUCUAACAUGUCUUGAUCUUUGUUUUCAAUUCUUAAAUUUUGAUUGUUAAUUCAUGAUUAGUUUAAGGGGAAGAUUUUUUUCCUCCUAGAUAACCAAGGUUUUUCAUCAUAAAAAAGGGGGAGAUUGUUACCCUAAGGGUUCUCCUAAUCAUGUUUUAAUGAUAGUAAAUCAUGGUUAAGUGGCUAAUUGAUUUGAUUUAUAAAGAAUUUCAGGUAUUAGUUUGGAAAUUCAUCAAAGAAAUCAAUAGAGGCAAGAUCAAGACAUUUGGAAGACCUUUAAUCAUAAGAAACAUAUGUAAGAUGAAUGCAUAGGUGCACUUGGGAUUUUCAUAUCUUUUCAUACAUUUUUAAAAACUGAGUUUAUGCAUUAAAGUUACAUUUCCAUCAAAAACCCAAGUUUUAUCAAAUGAACCUUAGGCAAAUCAUUUAAAAAUUGGCAUAUUAAUUUACUUAAAGACCUUGCCAAGUGUUAGAAGAGAAAAAAAAAAAAAAAAGAUAGGUUUUGGGCCAAAAAAGAUGAACCGAUUGAGGUAGUGGCCAAUGGGCUCAAUCAACUAGGGUACCGAUCAACCAGUUACACUUUCCUAGUCGAUUUCCAAUCGAGAGAUGCAAAAAAUCUUCUCUCUCUUCCAAUAGCCUUUCUUUCUCGGUCGAGGGAUAUCUCUUCCCAAUCGAGGUCCACUCAAGGCCUAAUGGCCACCUACCAUGCAUUUAAUGCCCAACAGCUAGUGAACCAAUCGACCCCCAACUCGACCAAUCAAGACUACUUUUUGGCAUUUUGGCUCGUGACGCUAGAAACCUAUAAACUGAGAGUUCCACUUCAUUUAUGAGUAAGAGAACACCUGAAUUUAUUUGUUUACCUACUUGUUCUUAUCGCAAAAGCUCUCAUUCUUUCUUUGGUGCAUUAAACCUUCAUUUGCAUAUUCCUUAGUGCACCCUUGUGAUUCUUCUUAGCUUUUAAGUUGUAUUUGAGCCCUUGUUGAGUUAGGAUGAGAGAUUUAAGCUUAUUAUUUGAGUGUUAAAAGCUUCAAGUGAGUAGAGAUUUGAAGAGAUUGUAUAAGAACCCAUUGAAGCCAGAAUCCAAGUGUAAAGGUGAUUAGAAGCUUGGUUGAAGCUUCAAGUAUAGUGGAACCCUUACUCGGUUAAGAGCUUGAGGAGAGUAGACCUAGGCAAGGAAGUGUUGAACCACUAUAAAAUCCGAGUUUGCUUUAUCUAACCUUAUCUAUAUAUAUUUGUGCUUCUUGUGUUUAAAUUUAUUGUGUUUGAAAAAGAAUUUUAAUAUUUCAGGUUUUAUUUAAUUCAAAUUAAUUAAUUUAAUCAGGUUUUAUUUUAAUAUUUCUUUUUUUUUUUUUUUUGCAUGGGAUGUCAAAAUAUCAUAAAUAUCAACAGUUAGUCUUUCUCUUGGUGGACCAAUAUUCUAUCAAUAUAUUUGACAAUCUUGUCCAAUUUUUGGCAAGCAAAGAUUUCAACCUUUUUUUUUUUUUGUAUUAAGGCUAGUAUGAUAUAUCGAAAUUUUGAUUAUAUUUCUAGAAAUUUUAAUCUUUGUAAAUAACUACUAUGUUUUAAUUUUAAAAAUAAAAAAUAAGAAGUAUAUCCAAUUGAUACCUUAGUGCUCAUUUAGAUAUGCUUCUUGGUUUUUAUUUUGAAGGGUAGAAAAUAAUAAUAACUUCUAUAAAAUAUAUAAAAUACAAUAACUUUUAUAUAAAAAGUACAAACUUAACUUAUGUUCUUAAAAAUAUAAACUUAAAUUAUAUUUUUAAAAAUUACUUUUAAAUUUUCUAAAAUUUGAAGUAAUAUUUUUUUUAAUAUCUCAUAUUUUUUAAAAAAUUUAAAAAUCAUUUUUUUUUAAUUAAGUUUCAAAGAGUUCUUAUAUUUUAUAGAGAUAUUAUGAUUACUUUCUAUUUUAGAAAAGAGAAACAAAAAGUUUAUCCAAAUUACACCUUAUUUUCUAUUGGAGACACUUAUUAUUUUUUAUUUUUAAAUGUAGAAAAUAGUAAUAGUUUCUAUAUAUAUAAUAUAGGAUUUCUUAGAGGUUUAUAUUGAAAAUGUUAUGGAUUUAAAAAUUGAUUGAAAAUUGAGAUAAUAAAAAAAUUUACUAUCUUAAAUUAUAAAAUUUAUUAAAGUAAUUUUUAAAGACAUAAGAUAUGUUUACCUUUUGUUUUAAAGUUUUUACUUUUUAUUUAGAUGUCUCAUAUUAUAUAUAUAGGAAAUGGAAACAGUGGGUGGUUUGAAGGCCACUAAAUAAUAAAUGUGAUAUCCUACAUUGGAUAAGGGAAAAUUUUUUUAGUGUUAUAUAUAUAUAUAUAUAGACUUCUUUUAACCUUGUAGACACAUUUUAAAGUCGCGAAAGCCCCUUUAGGUCUAUAGUGGUUAAUAUCUACACGAUUGAAAGCGAGUCAUUACAAAUGUAUCAAAGUUGAUCCUCGACUCCUAUAUGGGGGUUUCUUUUGGCUUCAUGAGAAGUGUUUCUCUAUUUGACCCUACAAUCUCGUGAGACACAACGAGUAUAUUGUAUUUAUAUGACGGAGGAGGGACUGGGGUAUUUAUGUCUCACAUGGGAUAGGGGAAUAUAUAUAUAUAUAUGAGUUCCUCUUAAUCUCGUAGACAUUUUAAAGUUAUAAGAGUCCCUUUAAGCCCAAAGUAAAUAAUAUCUACACAAUUGGGAUGAGACCGUUACAAUAGAUAUAAUUUUUAAAACUGAGAUUAGAAUCAAGAAAGGAGGUUUUCUUGGUCAGACCAUGGGUGGGGCAUUUUUACAAAAGAUUGAUCAUAUUCUUCCUCCUCUUGGCUAGAUGCAUUAAAUUGAAACAAAAUCUUAUUUACUUAGGAAGUAUGUCCAAAUGAAGCACUAAAAUUUAAAUUUCUAAUUAUAUUUUAAAUUUCUUAUGCAAGAGCUUUUAAGAACACUAACCUUCAAAAUAAAUAAGUAUGGUGCUUACCAAAACUUUUCAAAACUCACCUCUCAUCACUUGUCUUGCUGUUAUCCUUGGGGGGCCACUCUGGAAAAGAACUUCAAUUGUAAGAUGUUUAGACCACUAUUUGUUAGGAAAAAAAAAAAACAAAUGUAACAGAAAAGGAAAGAAGCACUACUUAACAAUUAUAAGAAGUUGAGGUAAAUAAUUAGUGGUGAAUGGAUAUAAAAAGGAACCAAAUUUUCUUAAACAAAUCCAUCAAACCAAAUCCUUAUUUUAUUGGAUAGGAAAAUUUGAGGAAAAAAAAAAUACAUCCAUUAGAGCCCCAUUUCGUAAUAUGGAAGAAAUUAUAGACAUCGAAUUUUACUUGCUCAAGUUCCAUUCUACACCAUGCAUGGGUUCUAUUCUAUUUAUUGAGCGAAUAAAUAUUAAAUCCAUUAAAAUAUUUUCAAUUGAGUUGGAUUAACUUGAAAGCUUGGAUGUUAACCACACAUUGUUUUAUAAGAUAGCUAACUAAUUUGUUUCCAAACUAUAUUUUUCAAAGAGAGAGAAAGAGAGAGAAAGAGAGAAAAUGUAUAAAACUAUAUUUAGCAUUCCUAAAUUAUGUUAAUGCCCAUACCCAAUUUCUAAAAAAUGUUAUUAUCUAAAUAAAUAAAUAAAUAAAAAACAAGAAUAAUUGAGUAAAUGAAGAAUAGAUAUUGAUGAGGAAGGAGUUAAAUGUACUAUACUGGAUUUAAUGAGUAUCUCCAUGAGUCCUUGUGUUGGUACUGUUGAGAUCAUGAGUUCCUCCAUGAAUCCUCGUCUUGUUUUUAUUUUCUUCUUUUCAAAUGCAGUUGGAUUGCAUGCAAGAUAUUGAAGAGCAGUCAUUGAAUCUGGAUCUCUUUCUUCAAUUAAAUAUGAGUAGCUCUCCGCAAUAAAAUGGGCCAAUUCUAUUUCAUGUUAAUUUUGUAGAGAUAACACAAAAAACAAAAAUGUUAGAUUAGUAACCUAAUGUUGUCUUUGCAUCCCAAAAAAUAUUUGAAAAAGAAAAUAUACAUAAAUUAUCUUAUUUGAUUAAUUAUUUAAAAUUUAUAAAUUUUUAUAAACAAAGAAAAACAAAGAAAAAUAAAUUUGAAGAUGAUAUUUAAGUAAAGCUUAUUGAUUUUAAACUUAUUAUUAACUUUUUAAUUUGUUUUUUGGAUUUUUCUUUAUUUUCUUUCCUUGAUACUUUCUUCAUUUCUAAGAUCCACAUGGCAUGCACCUAGACUAAAGGGCAUAUGCAAAUUAUGUAAAACACGUAACUUAAUAUUUUUUUUUUUUACUAGUAACAUUUAUGUUUUGAACUUUGAAAAGAAGACAUGACAUGAUAUGUCCCCUUAAAGUAUAAACUCCCUUUGUACUAACCCAUCACAUGCCUUUCAAGCUUAACCAAUUAAAUAUGAAGUUUUUAAAUUAUUUUAAGUGGGUUAUGAAUUUUCUUAACCAACAUAGUUUUGGGUACCAUUUUUAGGCCUAAAAAAGAGGUUUUGAAUAAUAAAAACUCUUUUGCUGUAUAUUUGAUUACAUUUAAGAAGUUGUUUGGAGAAAAAUAUUUAAGACUUAAAAGUAGCAAAAGUUACAAUAUAGUAACUGUUGGCCAAAAAGGGCUUUGGGAAGCUAAUAUUUCUUUAAAAGUUUAUUUAAAAAAUUAUAUCAAUAUUUAUAACUUCAUUUAAAUUUGGUAACCAAGCAUGCGUCCGGCUACAUUUUUAGUAUUUUUUAAGAGUAAAAUAUAGUCAUAAAUUCUAUAUAAAAACUAGAACCUUAUAUCUUUAAAAUUUUUGCAAUUUGAGGUAGAUAAAUUAAAUAUUUUGAUACCUUAAUUUGUAAAACCAUUUUUUUUUCUUUUUUUUCUUUUUUUAUCAAUCAUUCAUUGCUUUUCAAUGUAAGUAUCUAAAAAAUUCUGGUAUUUUAUAUGUUAUUAUUUUGUAAUUUUAAAAAUAGAAAUGAAAUGAAAAUAAUAAAUCUAUUUUCAAGAAAUUAAAUAUAUUUCUUAAGAAGUCCCUUUAAGGAGGAGUUAAGCUACUUCAAACAAGGCUUUAAUUAGAACAUGUACUAAUCUUUUAAAUUUUCAGCACUUAGGUUUAUUAGAAAACGCUAUCUAAAGCUUUGUUUGGAUUGUAAAAUAUAGUAGAAAAAAUAAAAAUAGAAAUGAAAAGUUAAUUUACCUAGAAAAUAAUGAAAAAAAAUAGAAUAAAAAAUAAUUAGAAAAAAAGAAAAGAAAAUAAUGAGUUUUUAUGCACUCGUGUAAAAAUAAUUAUAAAAUAAAAAUCUUCUAAAAAUAAUUCAAAUUUUAUGCAUUCAAGGGUCAAAAAUAGUACUUAAGAUAAUGAAAGGUAAUACCUAUAUUAUUAAAAUGUAUAAAUAUUAAUUAUUUUUAUAUAGCUAUUUGAAAUUUAUAUUUUAUAAACUUGAGUUUUUAUUUAUGGUUUUUUAUUUAUUUAAAUGUAUGAAAAUACACUUUUCCAAAAAAAUAAAAUAGAAUGAAAAAUAUUUAAAGUUUAUAUAUACAUGAGAGAAAGAAGAAAAAGAAAUUGCGAGAAUGAUAUAAGAAAGAUCUAUUAUGUUGAGCUUUUUAUAUAUAUAUAAAUAUUUAUUCAAAAUUUUCUAUUUUGGACUUUUUCUUAUUUUUAUUUUUCCAUUUCUCAAACAUAUUUUCCAUCAUCCUCCUAUUUUCACAUCUUGCAAGAACAUGAAACAUCCUCACCUAACGUACCUAGAUUGGUUGGGGUUUAGCCUUCCUUAACCUACACUUGGGAUAGCCUAUAAUUUCUAUAUUUAAUAAUAGAAAUGGAUAUUAUAGGAAAAAACUUGCAGAUGAAUUGAGAGAAGAACUCACCAAAACACUCGGUCAAGAUGGAAAUAUGAAGAACUGUUGUUCUAUCAUCCCUCUGCAAAUAGUGUUUACCCUCUUCUGGAUUUAGUUCCGUUAGUCCCAUUUUCCCAGCCAGAAACUUAAACAUUUCAGUUUGGCCGUAGCGGGCUGCACAAAAAAUAGGCGUCUCUCCUAAGUCGUUAGGCGCAAUUAGCAACUCUGAAUCUCUCUUCAACAUCUCCUCCGCCACAUCUUUCAUAGUAUCACUGGCCGCUACUUCGUGGAGUAUAUUGCUGCCGGCGUUGUUUUUUGUAGCGGCAAGUUCAUGGUUGCGUUCUUUAGGCAACAUUUCCAGUAAGUCGCGCACCAGUUUACUUCGUUUGAAGCGAGAGGCCAUGUGGAGGACUGUGUCAUUGUAAACACUAAUUCUCUGUAGCGGGCCUUCACGAUGAGAACUGCAGAGUUGGGUCACCUUCUUGUCGUCUUUGCUGAUCAAGUGAAUGAACAAUUGAUCUUGGAGUUCCUGUUGGUCGGUAGAGUUGGUGUCGGCCAUGAGAGCGUCUUUGGAGAGGGAUGGGGUUCUUACAGCGUUCCAGAGUCACUGCAAAAUCCCAAUUCAUAAGGUUAUAAGCAAUCUUAUAAAACUUGGAUGGGAGUGGCCAAACAAACCGUUGACCGGUCUUCUAUCGGAUUCCAUUUGCUAAUUGAACCGCUUCAAGCUUCAAAAACGAAUUAAACCGAGAGAAGACUCGAAUGAGAGACUUUCCAUCGAACCAAGUUUUGAUGUCAUCUUCAACUAUUAUUUUUUAUUUUUUAUUUUUUAUUUUUUAUUUUUUAUUUUUUAAUAGAGGCCCGACACUUGAUUUUUUUAAUUUUUAUGAAACCAUUAAAUGGUUGAUCCCAUUGCUUGUUUCAUAAAUGUCAAAGGGCAGUUCCAACCCUUCUUUUUUCCCCCCGCACAUUCCUUAAUAUGUAUUAAAUAUAAAUCAUCAAGUAAAAGUGUUUUCUUAUGGCAUGAAUUAUUUGUAAUUAAUAUAUAAACCACACAAAAUUAUAAAAAAUCAUAAAAUGCAAAACUAAUAAUAUAUGAAUAAUAUAAAAAAUUAUUUGAUUAAUAAAAAAUAUUCAUAUGUUUGUAUAAUAUGGUUAUCAUGAUUAAUAUAUACUAAUAUUAAAAAUAAAAUGAUGAAAUAGUUUAAUAAUAUAUGAAUUAUAAAUUUAUGAUGUUAUUAGUUUCAUCAUAGUUCAACUAUCAAUUUUAACCAUAAAUCAAUAACUUUUCCUAUUUAAUGACUUGUUUGGUUUUGAAACAUCGGUUAUAAGGGGUUAUUAAAAGAACAAAAAAAUGGUAAUUUAAUUAAGGCCAUUUUUUUUCAAUAUCUCUAAAUAUAUUCAAGAUAAAAAGAAAUGGUUUUACUAUUAUUAUUAUUAUUAUUUAAAUAAGAGUGUUUGGGAUGUUUUUGUAAAAAUAAUUUUUAAACAAGGAAAUAAAAUAAUUUUCAUUUUUAAAAAAAAAUUAAUUUUCUACUUUAAUUUUGUAAAAAGUUUUAAUAUUAAAUUAAAUUUAAUACAAAUCUUAUGAAAAAAUAAAAAAUAUUUUUUGCAAUUAUAAAUGAAUUAGAGAUCAUUUUUUUUUUAUAAUAUGUAAACACUAAUAUUAUAAUAAAGAACAAAUUAUAUUAUUUUUUGUUGGAAAAAAUGAUAAUAUUUUAACAGAUUUAAAGGAAAAUUAGGGUAUUGAAUUAGCACCUAUGGAACAUAUAAUCUACAUCAAUGAAAGUGUAUAGUAAAAUCUAAACCAUUGAAUAAAUGUACAAAUAAUCAGACCCAAGUAUAAAAGAAUAGAACUAUGUACAAUAAUGAGAUCAAUGUAUAAAAUAAUAAAUCAAUCAAAAUAAUGGGACCUAUUCAUAUGUAGUGCAAUUUGAUUCACAUUUUUUGAUAUGUAGCAAUUCAACAUUGUAGUGAGACUCAAAUAUGAAAUAUGGAUGUUAAUAUUUUAAUAUAAAAAAAUAAGUUAUAUUUUUUUAUUAAAAAUUAAUAAUAAGUUUUUGUAAAAAAAACAUGGAUUAAUAAUAUUUUAUUUAAAAUGAAUAGUAAAAAGAAGUAUAUUAAUUUUUUUAAUAAAUGAAUAAUCUUUGUUUUUAACUAAUGUACAUGUUUACUAUAUCUAAUUAUCUUUAGUAUUUUAUACCAAAUUUGGUCUUGGAAUUUUUGGCAUUAGACGAGUUGCAAACACAAUUCUGGGCUUUUAGGAAGUCCAUCAAUACAUUUAUGAAAUGGUGCAUGCACAUGCUAAUGUUUUGAAGCAAAAUAAAUGUUUUUGUCCUAUCAAACAAAGCUUAAAAAUUCUUGACUAUAAUUCUCAUUAUCUAUCCAUAUGAGACUAAUAAGCAAGGAUAUAAUUAUAGGCUUCCCAAAUCUCAGCAUGCAUAUAAUUAGAGAUAGUUUAUUAAAACAAGGUCAUGACACUUACAACAAUAAGAUGAAAAGCUGCUUUGUAGUUUUAAAAAAACUUUUUUUUUCUAUUAUAAAAAUUAAAAAGUAAAAAAAAAAAUUAUGUAAAACUUCAAAAAUUGAAUUAUAUUUAAGAAAGAUUAUAUGAUGUUUCAUAUAUUUAAAAUACGGUGUCUUAAUAAUAUAAAAAUACAAUUUCUAAGAAAUUCAAUGUUUUUUUUUAUGAAUUUUUGGUCAAAAUGACCCCUUUUAAAACUUAUAUCCAAUGUGAUAUCUUUUCAAUCACAUGAGUCUCACAUCAUUCUCCCAUAAAAAUAUAGCUGCAAUUGACAAUUAAGAUUUCAAUUAAAAAAUGAAGUUGCAAUUACCAAUUGAUACUUCGAUUAAAAAUUGAGAUUGCAUUUUUUAACUGAAGUCUUAAUUGGUAAUUGAGGUUUCAAAUUAAAAAAUGAAGUCAUAAUUAACAAUUAAAACUUCAUUUUUCUAACUAAACCCUCAAUUGCUAAAUAAAACCUUAACUUAAAUUAUAUAUAUAUAUAUAUAUAUAUAUAUAUAUAUAUAUAUAUAUAUAUAUAUUAUUUCUAGAUGGUAAUAAAAUGGUCACUUUGAACAUAAGUUUGACAGAAUGGUUAAACUUAAUUUUUUUCCCAUAAUGGGGCUAUUUUGGCCCAAAACUCAUUUUCUCUAACCUAACAUGAAUAUAAAAACUUGAGAUGAUGAAAUCAUUGUUUAAUAUAUUUAAAAUAUAGUACCUUACUAAUUAAAAUAAUAUAAAAAGUGAAUAUACGCAUUUGUGGACCCUACAUUUCGCUCGAUGCGUUCUCACUUGAUGACAAAACUCGCUUUUUUAUUUUAUUUGGUGAAAAAUUAUGAUUUUUAGAAAAAUACUUGGAGUCACCACUUAUUCUUGUUUUAUUUUUUAAGGAAAAAAAAAUUUAAAAUUAAAAAAAAAAAAAAAAAACCUAAAUGUGACUCCUGAAGGAAAAACAAAUCUACGAAAAAUCGAGUUUAGGUUUGAAAGUCAGGUUAUUAGAAAGGUACAGUAAAGACCGUAACACCCCUCUAAGUCCCUAAAAAUGAAUAUCUACUAAAUAAAAUGAAGCAAAUGUGGCAAUUAAUAAGGAAAGUAAUUGAUACCAAUGAAAUUAUCAAAUAGUAAAACGAACCAUGCAUAAGAACAAGCAAAGUGAGAGUGAAAUCGUACCUUAAUAGCAAGUAAUAGUGCGUUAUCAUAGAAACAAGGUUAGUUCAAGUACAAAAUUAUCACAUGCACAUCAAAAAGCAAUCCAAACAUCAAACAAUGUCCUUUAAGCAUAACAGUCGACAAUCAGAAGAGAAAAACUCAUAUAUAGGACCCUCACUAAAGCCCAAUUGAUUUUGCAUAAAUCAAUCUCACAAAUUCCAUUGUUUUGGAAUUAUGAAAAUGAUCUUCAUACUUAUUAAAAAUCAAGGAAAACGGAAAAUUAUUUUAAAAUCAAAGAAAAUUUAUACAAGCGCAUACCAAAAUGAGAAUGACAACAGACUUAUUAAAAUCAAGAUUUUUCGCAACCUAAAACCUUAAUAAAGGAUGAAAAGUUGUAGAAUUAAAAAAAUAUUUAAAACUGGAGUGGAAUUAAAAUUAUUCAAAAGAAAACUAGAGUUUUGAAAUUUAUUUGAAAAUUGAAAAUUUGAAAAUUAUUUCAAAAUUAAUUUGAAAAUUGGAAUUUUGAAAUAUUAUUUGAAAAUGGGAGUUUUGAAAAUUAAAUUUAAAAAUUAAGGUUUUAAAAUUUAAAUUUGAAAGAAAUUGGAGUUUUAAAAAUUAAUUGAGAAUUGGAAUUUUGAAAAUUAAAUUAUGAAAAUUGGAAUCUUGGAAAUUAUUCGAAGGUAUAAUUUUAUAAAUAAAUAAAUAAUAAUAAUAAUAAACAAAUUUAAAAUUUGAAAUUUUAGAAAUUAAAAAUUAAAUUCAAAAAUUAAAAUUUUGAAGAAUUAUUUAAAAAAUGAAUUUUAAAAAUAAACAAAUAGAAUAAUAAUAAUAACAAAAAUAUAAUGAUUAAAUAAAUAAAUAUGAAAAUUGGAAUUUUGGAAAUUUAAAUUUGGAAAUCGAAAUUUUGAAGAAUUAUUUAAAUAUGACAUUUUAAAAAUAAAUAAAUAAAAUAAAAUAAUAAUGACAAAAAUAAUAAUGAUAAAAUAAAUAAAUGUGAAAAUUGAAAUUUUAGAAAUUAAAAAUUAAAUUUGGAAAUGGAAAUUUUAAAAAAUUAUUUAAAGAUGAAAAUUUAAAAAUAAAUAAAUAAAUAAAAUAAUAAUGAUUACAAAAAUAAUAAUGAUAAAAUAAAUAAAUAUGAAAAUUAAAAUUUUGGAAAUUAAAAAUUAAAUAUAAAAAUUGGAAUUUUGAAGAAUUUAUUAAAAAACGAAGUUUUAAAAAUUAAAUUUAAAAAUUGAAAUUUUAAAAAAUUAUUUAAGAAUUGAAUUUUUAGCAAUCAUUUAAAAAUUGGAAUAAAAAUGAGAUUUUUCGAGAAAUCGGGAUUUUAAUAAUCAUUUAAAACAAAAAAUUUACGGAAAUCAAACUUGGACACGUGGAAAAAAAAAAAAAAGUUCCACCAUGAGACCACAACUGCACCAUUUCACUGCCACUUAAUGAGACCACAACUGCACCAUUUCACUGCCACUUAUUUAUUCAGAAAACUUGAAGUGCCCUGCCACUUAUGAAAAUUCCCAUGCCACCCUUGACUUGUCAUUCACCGUUUGCUUACACCGCCUUAUGUCAUUAGUGCGCUACCAGCUUCUGUAGGUGAAGUAAUGAAGCCCCACUUCUCCAUGAAAUGCACCAACUUGCUGCCUAUUUACACCUGGCAGCACCUAAGUCACCAUGCAGGGCCUCGUUCCACCUCCCAAAGGCGGCAACCCUGAAAUCCUUUCCAAGCUUCCUUUCUCAUCUUUGCUUUCCCCGCGUUCAACUUAUCCAUUCCGAAAAAGAAUUUUUGAACAGAAGUUCCCAAGUCUCCAGCUGUAUAUGCUUCAUUCUUGAGCACCUGUCGUUGAAGAUACUUGGCACAAAACUUUGCAACUACCUUACCUCCAUAGCCAUCACAAACACCAAAAAAACGAAGUGGAAGCAUCCAGAUCAGGGUAUGCAGCAUGAGCAUCUUCCAUGGUUGCGCGCCAUCCUUGCAUGGAUGAUGAACCAUAUCUAACCCUGCCAUUCUCACCAUCCUCAGAUAACUUCUCAGUUUUUGGGGUGCUCAGGUAUAUACCCAUCUCUAGCUGCGCGAUUGGCUCAGAUUUAUGUUCUGAAAGCUUGAACUCUAGGACUCUGUUCUCUGCCUUCUGGAAGGCUAGAAUCCUCCUGUCAAGCUCUUUCGCAAGACCGUCCCCCUUCCUCUUUUGUUGUCGUUCCUCCCCUUGAUGAAUCCACAAAGCUUUUAUAUCCUUCCCAAGGCUUUUCAUGGCCCGGGAAACAGUCUCGUCCGGCAACUUCUGUAAGAAAAAUAGCCAAUCAUGGCAGGUUAUGAGCAGCGGUGGCCCAUCGGCUCGGCAUGGCGGAGCUGAGCUUCUGCCUCGUGAGCAGAAUUCAACCUCAGGGACUACGAACUUGGAGAGCCAUCCAUGGAGAGCUUCAAAAAUGGAACCGUGGGCGUGUUCACCUCCCUGCCGGUCAGUUCUGUCCAGAAAGACUUCCCAAUUCGAGUCACAAAUUGAGCUGUGAGAUUAAUAACAUCCAACUCUUCCCCUGUAAUCCCUUCUGGAAGACGAACAGCGCAUUGCUCAGUCUCUGGGGGGCUCAAGAACCUUGCGGAAUGGUUUAAACUGGGACGAGGGCUCAUGCUUCAUCAAUGUCUCACUAUUGUCGGCAGGUGGAGCAGAUGGGGUAGAUUCAGGAGCAAAAGAAUCUGCAAGUCGUGAAGGAAUCUGCUGUGCAGAGGACUGAUUCUGAGAGCGAAGUUCAAACAGGCGGUGUUGGAGGUAUGCACGGUAGGGAUCCGAACCAUUCAAGAAAUUGAACUUUACAUUGCCAGCAUGAGCAUCGGUAAAUGAAGUUCCAAUAGGGGUUUCUGCUCUCAGACCCAAUUCCUCAACAGAGUGACACUUGAAAUCAAUGUGAACCCACACACAGGGGAGGCACAUACGGGGAGUGCACAAAACAAGGAGGAAAUACAGAAAAAGAAAGAAAACAGGAAAAAAGGAAUGACAGUAAAAAUAGGCCAGACUCUGAUAGUCGUAGUGAACAAAGCUCCAAAUCAUGCAUUCUCAAUGAGCUUUAAGAGUAAAUGAAGAGACCAAAAGAGAAUUCGGAAAGAGAAUGAAACAUACUUCUGAAACAAAAGACACGAAAAAAGUCAAAGGUAAUGGUAGGAAUAAUCUCCAGAUUCAGCAAUCACCAUACAACUUUGGAUAUCCAUACAUAACCAACUAAUAACACCCACACAUAAGCAACAAAUAGAAUGCCAGAAACUCAAGAACAGAGUGAAGAUAGUGAUAUGCAUAAAUAAUCUGAGAGCUGGGAUAAUCAUAC